This 54439-nucleotide long non-coding RNA is filed under the name Ananas comosus (pineapple). RNAcentral's name for it is "long non-coding RNA (ACOM_LNC018831)". Lineage: Eukaryota; Viridiplantae; Streptophyta; Magnoliopsida; Poales; Bromeliaceae. The record is from RNAcentral.
ACUAAAAGUCAAUCUCCUAAUUUUCAACCAAGUGAAAAACAUAUAUAUAUAUAUAUAUAUAUAUAUAGUCCGAUUAUGGUGCUUGUAAAAGUACUUAGUAUUUGGUGCUUGUAAAUUCUUUACCGUUAGAUCUAUGCCUUUGAUCAUUUUCACCCGUUAGAUUAUACUAUUCAACCAACCAUCCACUUAAUCCUAGAGGGCCCACAUCAUCUUAACCGCACAUUCUUCAAUUGGACUAGGUGAGGUACAUAUGCAUCAACUGAUUUAACUGUUGUUUUUUUAAAGAUAGGUAGCACGCUACCCGAUUCGUUUAUUUCAUUUAGAAAUAAACUUAGCUGAAAAUAUGAAUCAACUAGGAUUCGAACUUAGGUCUCGAGUGCCAACCAUCAAGUUUUUUGUCACUUUAGGGACGGCCGGUAUCAUCUGAUUUAAGUGUUGAACACUGGAGAUGCUAUUCAUACGAUGGAGGCCAAAAUUUGCGUUCACACUGCUAAGAUUCUCGAAUGCUUGUGGGAUUACGACAACUUCGUCGGCUCCACUUUUGUCCGCUUGGGGCAUGUCUUCAAUCCUGGAGCCAAAUCCGCUGUACGGUUUGGCUCCCGCCCUUUGUUUCUCCUUUUUGUCCCAGCAUUUUAUUUCGAAUUAUUAUUAUUAUUAUUAUUAUUAUUGCUUUAUUAAUUAAAAUCCAAGUCAAAAAAUCGUCAUGGGCGCUGCGCCAAGUCCAGGUCAUGCCCGUGUCGAACAAUUGUACCCCAACAAAAGGGGCACCCAAGAGUGCCCACCACACCCGCUUUUUUUUGCUUGUUUUUUUUUUUUGGUUUCUGUUUACUUCUUAUGUUUUUUUGUGUUUGCUGUAGGAUCUAUGCAAGACGACAAUAGAGUCUUUCUAAUGAACACUCAAAACUCAUUAUUAUUCCGACCUGUGAUCUCCUGCAUUCAAUAUCAUACCACUGCAGAAAAAGGGAGUCAAAAUUUGGUGAACUGACACUGGUCACCAAGAACACCAAUCUAUGAAUUCCUCCCCGGUAAAUUGCACUAAUUAGUCUCCGUUAACUUAUGUUCCAGUUUUAGUCCUUAUAUUAGCAAACUGUUUAGUUAAUAAAAUUAUCAUUCUUUAUACAUUUACAAGUUUGUAUCUCUCAUAAUACAUCCCUCGCUCCGUAUUAUAUUUUUCUUUCUCAAUUACCUUUACAUUCUAUUAUUUUACUUCUCUAUAUCCAAUAAAAUAAUAUUUCAUACUAUUUUAUUUAUGCUUACUAUUAUAUAUUAAAAAUUCGACGUACUCCUUUUUUCCGAUUGUGAUCGCACCAUAAUUUAUACUCUUUUUUCUACUUCAAAACUAGAUAGUUGAAAUAAUAAUCUUCAAAAUAGAUGGAGUCACGGAGGGACUCAAAAUUUUUUUAAAUUUCGAAGAUCAAAAUGAAGUAUGUCUAUAAGUAAAUUUGACCAUUAAUGUGGGAAACACUAAAACACACAACAGUAAAUACCCCCUUUUUCCAUUUCUUUUCCUGAUUUUUUAAAAUCUACAUUUUACUUUCUUACAAUUUUAAAAAUAUUUUCAAAAAAUUAUGUAUUAAUGAAGAGGGCGAAAUAACUAAAUUAUUUUUAUUUAUUUUAUAAAAAGAUAUGUUUUAAAAAUAUUUCUAUCAUUUUUUAGAGUAUUUUUUAUAUAAAUUAUAAAAAUUGGACGGUAUAAUAAUGAAAUCCUGACUGGAGAGGAGUAAAUACAUCAACUUAAAAUUUUAUAAGAGAGUAAAAUAUAAAUUUUUGAAAGUUAGAAAAAAGAAUAAAAAAAUAAAAAUUUAUACAGAUCUUUUAUAUUUUACACUUAUAAUAAUAAUUAUUAUUAUUAUUAUUUAUUACCAAAUACGUGUAGGAGGUGCUCUAUUCCACAUUGAAAGCUCCAACCGCGCACCCCACCAGUUGACUGCUUGAAACCGAAAGCACAUGAAAAAGAAACAAUAUUAUACCUACAACCAACUUAUCGUGACACCUUUUUUUUUUUUCUUUUUCUUUUUUUUUUUCCCACUUUCCUUUUGGUAGCUAACUUGGCCCUACGCGUGCCUCAACCCGAGCAUAUAUAAAUGCAAUAAUAAAAUAAUAAAAUAAUAAAAUAAACUUUAAAUUGCUCCUCUAGAUUUGGCGUAUCUUUAUUUUAUCAUUUUAUGAUUUAAAAAGUUAACUUAAUUAUUCUGUAGUGUUUUUUUUUUUUUCACCCAAGAAUCAACUGAAAAAUAAGAUGGUAAAGUAACAUUUUUCGUUAUCCACAAAAUGGUACAAAAUAAUGCUUUACCGUCCUAUAUUCUGUAUUUUAUUUUCUUGUUGUUUUUACAAAAUACAAUAGAUUUUUCGCAAAAAUAAAAUUAUAUGAUAGUUAAAUACAAUUUUUUAAGGCACAAGAUGAUAAAAUAAAAAUACGUUAAACCUCGGAAGGAGCAAAUUAAAAUUAGAUAAAUUUUUAUAAACUUAAUAUGUUUACCCGUCCUCAUUUUUUUUUCUUCAUACUAAUUUUAUAUAAUUUUAUGUAUAAAUUUAAAAACUUUUUCUUAUUGUUACGAUAGGUUAGUUUGUGAUACAUUCCCGCUAAAUAAUAUAUAAUAAUAUUUAUAAAUAACAUUACGAAAAUUACUUUUUUAUUUUGUUGCCAAACCCCCAAAAUAAAUAUCAUGGGUGGACGAAUUGUUAGCAAUUUACCAUUUCCUCCAACACAUAUUUGUAUAAAAAAUUUAUUUAAAAAACUAAAAAAAAAAAGACAACAAUACUAAAUGAGGCCUUAGUUUCUACUUCAAAUUGCAUGCUUGAAACAUGUGACUGACCAAACUAAAUUAACCGACCGUCUCUAGAGCUAGUGGCAAAGGGCUUAGUGGUUGAUACCGGAAGUCUCAAGUUCGAAUUCUAGUUGAUUCAUAUUUUCAGCUAAAUUUAUUUCUAAAUAAAGUAAACAAAACAGGUAGCGUGCUACCUAUCUCUCAAAAAAAAAAAAAAAUCUAAAUUCCAUGCUUGAAAUAUCAUUCACCAAUUCUAUAUUUGUAGUAGGAUAGGUUGUGAUCUGGAUAAUUACACAUGUUGAUGACUAAGCUAUGACUCAUCACCCUUUUUUCUGUCCCAUCUGCAUUCAAUGUGAGAAGGAUGCAGAUAAGAAAAAGAAAGAAGUGCUUAUAAUUGAUGAAGACCCUUAACAGGAUAAGGCAAAUUGAAUAUUAAAAUUAGAGCAUUUAUAAAAUGCCCAUCAAAGUAAACACUAACUCCACAUCAACAAUUGGGACAGCACAUAAACUAUGCACCACUCACAAAAAGAAGGGAAAAAGGAAAAGGAAAAAAAACAAAACAAAAAAAAAAAAGAAGAGCAUAGAGCUCGCCUAGUAACUGGUAUUGGUCAACAAUGCCUAUAAAGUGUUUGUAGAAUUGCCCCGAACAAAAGUAAUGGUACUUGAUUAAAUUUUGAAAAGGAAAGAAAACAGAAACAAAAAUAUGGCACUUUUUUGAUUCAACUAAUUUUGUACUACUUGUUGCGUUGAAUGAAAUGAAAGAGAAAUAGCAAUGUAGUGUGUAGAAAACCUAAGCUGAUCGGUACUGAGAGCGUUACCUACGACCCUUUUCUCCUUGUUCGUCGUCUCCUUCAGGAAGGAUGGUGAUGGGGGUUUGGGAGAGCGGGAUCCGAGCUUCGCCAUGGACGAGGGGGGAGGUCUCCUCCUCCUCCUCCUCUUCCUUGGCAUCUCGAGCGCGGUCGAGGUAGGGUUUGAAGCCCACGCGAAAGGAGAGGUAGGCGAAGGCGAUCGCUCCCACCACCACCACUCCCGAUCUCAUCGCGUUUUGACGCGCUCUCCCAAACUCCCUUCGCUCCAUCUCCUCUCUCUCUUUCUCUCUCUCUCUCUCUCUCUCUCUACCCGUACUCUUUUCCUAGGGGCCUGCUACGAUGCCGACUCUCUUAUGGCUCACUUGCACAGGCGUUUACAAAAGUCGGCAAGCUUUAUGUCUCGUCGCCGAAUUCGAAGGAAUUUGCGUUUCGGCACCGAAUUCUAUUGCCAAACAAACACAUUACCCACAUGGUAGACCGUAUCUUGCACCGUUAGCUAAAAAUUUAAUUAUCAGUGUUUUUUAACUGAAUUUAUUUCUAAAAAAUAAAUCAAGUAGAUAAUAUGCUAUCUUUUUCUUUAAAAUACCGUACAAUAUUGACCACGAAGGCUUAAUUUAGUUUCAGAAAUUUGGCUCGAAUUUAAUAGUGCACGGCCAUAUGCACAGCAGUGUACACACUGCUCGAACAAAAAAGCAAUCUAAUUAUGUUUUUUCGAUUAACAACUUUGAGCUUUGUUUGCUUUGAGAUGAUCCCAAAUUUAUACUACAAUCCAAGUAAUCAAUAAAACAGAUACAAUAGAUCUAAGGAGCAAAAACCAUUCUGAAGUUCCAUUCUAAACCAAUAGCAAUUAGUAAUGAACGACUUCCUAGAAGAAAAUAUUCCCAAAUUUAUACUACAAUCCAAGUACUGAUGAAACCGAUCUAAUAUAAAUAAGGAGCAAACCAUUAUAAAAUUCCACUCUAAACCAAUAACAAUUAGUCAAUGAAUGCCUUCUUAGAAUAAAUAUUCCUAAGCAUAUAAAAAAAUAAAUAAAUGUUCGAACAAUUUACAAGGCGAAGUAGUAAAGGUGCUCACUUUACUAGCUCGAUGUUAGGGGCUUAAUCACAAUGUUAAAAUGCUAGGUGGCUAGAAACUAAAGCUGUGCAGUUAGAAAGAAUUGGAAAAAUCAUGGUGAGCUCUACAUCUUCAAGUGUGAUGUCCAUCACCUCGAAUUCUUUCUUCGAUAGUUGAGAACCAUAUCAUCCUGUUUCCUCCAUACGAAAGUUCGGACCGUGUCCAGACUCAAUUCAAGCGGUAGGACCUGCAUCAGAUGAUAAUGUAAUAAUAUAAUAGUUAUAAGAAGAUUGGGCAGGAUUGCGCAAAGAGGAUCAGGUCAGCUUUAAACUGUUUUUUAAGCUUAAAAUCAUGUUUUACAGUUUAAACAUGACAAAAAAAGAGCCAUCAUGAAUUUGAAGGUACAAGAUUGCGGGCACACUAGAUGUUUGGCUCAUAGUAAAAGCCAAUCGUCGUGACGUCGGAAUGAUUCAAUGGUUAGAUGCUUACCGUACUUUACUGUAUAAUUCUUUCCUAUACUAACUAACAAAACAAAAAAAAAAUCAAGGAGAAGAGGGGACAAAAAAAAAAAAGAAAAAGAAGCCUCCUACUUGCCUGGUUAUUGCACAAGAUCUCUAGCAUAGAUGGCUUUAGAUGUUGCCACGGCUUUGACCCUGAACGUCGGGAGCCAUCGCCAUUGCAUGAAAGUGGCGACAGACCACUGCUCAGUCCCAAGCAAAAUCUCCUGUUAUAACUGACAGAUUCCAAUGGUUUGUCAAGAAUGAUUUUCUGUAUCACAUAAUUAAUCACCUGCAGCGCAAAGUCAAAGAAUCUCCAGGGUGAAAAACCAACACCACAAAGUCCGAGAAUCCUCAAGGUGAAAAAACCAACACCCAGGAAAGGGUUUAGCAAAUUGAAACAAGGCGAUAUCAUUAGUUAUAGUAAAGGUUGCAGAGAACAAAAUAACUCAGUUAAUAUUGAGCAGUGAGGUUGGUCAAACAGGACAGACAAAUUGGCAAACUUUUAAAAUUUAGGAGAAUAUAUAAAUAUGAUGAUUUAGAAUAUGGAGGAGAAAAUACUCUUUGGAGAUUAGGCACAUUUUUUAUAUACUUAAGCACAAACAAACAGCAUCGAGUCCUACAGCAGUUUGUGAACCCAAACAGCCAACCAGAUAUAUUAAUACUUACUUUGUUGAUCCGCAAAAUACGAUUGGCAUAUGAUUUUGCUUGUGAUAUACUUGGCAGAUCUGAACCUUCACAAGGGCGCAAAUAAAAGCCCAACCUAUAUAUAUUGACGAAAGGAGCAGCACAAAGUUAGACGACAAUUGCAAUAUAAUCUAUAAAGCAACUACCACACUGUAUCGUAUAUAAAUGAAUAAUGUCAGCAAAAUACUUUCUAUUAUCCUUAUUAUACCUAAUGGUGGCAGUCCUUUCUAAUAUUUAAGACAAACUACAAGAUAGGUUCAUCCAUGUUCAUCCAUGCUUAGUGUAGUAGUCAUAUACAGGAGGCUGAAUAGGGAAUUUUAAAUAUGAUAGACAAAUGGUUUCACAGUAUUUUGCUUUUCUUUCUUCUUAUUCCAAUUCUUUUUGCACACCGCAAUUUAGCAGGAUGAUAAAUGUGCACGCAACCCCUCAACUCCUUUUCUUUUGAUCGACACCCCCUCAAUUUAAGUUGUUUUCGUCAAUCAAGUUGCUGAUUUGUUUUAAAUUUGAUUCUGAUUCUGUUAAAUUUAACCAUUUGCACAUUUUUUCAGUGGAUGAAAUUGCAGGUUUCGUUAGCUACAAAUGACUGAUAGCAAACAAAACUGUUGACUUUAAUAAAUCCAAAUUUGAUUUGGUAAAUUAACUAAAAUUAAAGCAACGGACAAUUGAGUGGUACCAGUCAAAAGAAGAGUAGUCGAGGGGUCUAUUCAAAAUGGCACAUUUUACCUUAAGCAGGAAAGAACUAAAAAGAAAAACUAAUUACUUUAUAUGAUCCCUCGGAGGUAAUCGGCCGUUCAACACGCAGUCUAUACACCACCAAGGAAGAUCCUUUUCAUCUUCUGUCCCGUCUAAAUCUGUAAUUUUCUUUCUCCAAGGGACCCCACAAGAACCCUCUGUAACUAUCGACGGGGGUGAAACAGUUGAAAAAUCAAAUGGAGGGAGCACCGUAGUAUCGUCGAUAUUGUCUCUAUCAUCGAACUCAACUCUUGAAUGGAAAACAUUUCUAUUAGUUACAUCCUUCCCAAUUGAACCAUCAUCCUUUGUAGAGGCUUGCAAUUCACAUCUCAGCCUUUUGUUGGUCAACCAACAGGCCAGUAAACCACGAAGCGUCUCUUGAGCCAAAUUAAUCUGCAAAGGUUUUAAAGAAAUAUUGAGGUAAAAAUGUGCAGAGCUUACUCAAACUACAGAGAAUUUUAAAAAUGGGUACCUGAACUUCCAGAAUUGAUCUUACUACCUAACCUUACAGUUACUCUGACUUCAGAAAACACCGUCAAAAUCUGUUAAAACUUAAACACCGUCAAUUCUGUCAACUGACAGAAUUGUCUGUUACAUCACAGAAUAUUCCAUCACUAAGUUUCGAAAACGCAGCUGAGCUCUGAUGUAUAGGUACUUAAAUGAAAACUACUGUCAGAUUAGGUAGUUAAACAAAAUUUUUAAGUUCAAGUAACUAUUCCUUUACAUUUUUAAUUAUAGAUGUACUGUAAAACUUUAGCCAGUAGGGAGGUGAAUAUAAUGAAUGCAGCAAUCUAAGAACAAAAUGACGACAACACCCCACCCUCAUAUCUUCGUUCUCUUCCGAUAUAUUGAAAUCUACGGCAUAUGUUUCAGCAUAGAAGCAUUGAGGAUAAUCCAAAUGGACAGACAAACAUCCAAGCCGAGUGUCCGUAGUAAACCAUGAAGGAAAGCUCACCUUGAAAAAUAAAAGCAAGUUCGAAAGAAGUCAUGGGCCAUGGUAAUUUAUGAGAUAUAAUAGUACAAAUUUAAUAAAUAUGAUACCAUUUCAAAUAACUCUUCUUUCUUUUUGUCAAAAGAAACCUGCAAGACAGAAAAGGUCGACAAUUCUGAAGUUAGCACUUUAUAGGGCUCUUGGAUACGUGCGCACGCGUGCACACACAUCUCUCUCUCUCUCUCUCUCUCUCUCUCUCUCACUCUGUGUAUAAAUUAGUUUUUUGAAAAGAAUAUAUGAAAAUCAGAUUUUGCAGGGCUAUACAUAUACACAUGAUUUCGCAGGAGUAAACAUGUAAAUUUCUCUUCAUUAUUUAUAUAUUUUAGGUUGCUCACUUAUAAAAUAUUCACAGAUGAAUAGUAUCAACCAAAUUGAAUACCAAUUGGAAAUCAUAUAUGUUGAAGUCGUCGAACUAAUCUGCUUAGUUACUUUUUCCAGCAUCAGAGAAAUUCGAGUAAGGUAAUCAAAUAAAAAUAAGAAUACAACCUUGCCAUAAUCCUCAAUUACAGCUCCACUGGUGAUUUCCCACAGCUUUACUGAACCAGUAGAGUCCUGUUAAAGAGAUGUUUUAAGGAAUAACAUCCAUUGUCCAGGUAAUAGUCAGUAGAACAAAAGGUUAAAACAGUAAAAUGAUAGAAAAUAUCCUAAUCACCUUAGUCAGGACACGCCGUCUAUUAUUCAAGAUCUCAUGUUGUAUAAUUACUGGAGAUCCUGGAAUAGUAAAAGAUGAUUCUUUAUGUACAGGGGCCUGUAAUAGAAGAUGCAGUCAUUGAUCAAAGAAAACCAAUUUCCACACACAAAUUUCUUCAGAGGUUAAGUGCUUAGCAAACCACUAUUGCCAUAAUGAGAAUGGUCGCAACCGACAAAAUUUUAAAUUUAAAAAAUCCAACAAAAACUACCCACAGAAGUUUAAAUAUCGAGUGCAAAUAUAAAUGUAUGACUCACAGAUGCUGUUCCUUCCAAUGAAGCUGAAGCCCUUGUAGAGGACAAAUUCCCUGCUACGAAUGAGCCAGCUUUUCCAAAAUCCUUCUGAAGAUUAUGCCCGUCAGCUGGCCACCCUUGUACAGAAGAAUCUGUAGUCGCAACCCAUAUAGUCUCAUCUUGUAAGACCAAUUGUAGAAUUGAGUGUUCUUUCGUACAAAGGACGAGACUCUCUCUAGUCGACAAAUCAGUGAGGCAUAACUGAGAUAUCCAGAAUCAUGCAGAGAUAUAUUAGGCAGAAAAUUGUUUGAUUAGCUCUUACAUGAUAGUAAAACUUUAUUACACUUACUGAAAGGUCCCUUCCACCACUAUAAACAUGCGUGAAAUUUGGAGUGCUCGCAAGUGCCCAAACUGAAUCUGUGUGGACAGCAUAAGAAUGUAUGCAACGCUGUUGACCGAGAUCCCAUAAGCUGCAUGAGAAUAAAUAAUAAAUGCAUGAGCUAAAAGCCACAGAAAAACACUGGUUUCAGUAAAACUAAUGAUGCAAUAAGACUGCUACCUUUAUCUCAAAAAAAUGAUGCAAUAGGACACCGGAUUUUAUUAUUCUUUUUCAUAUUCGCCUUUACAUGACAUUGUUCAAAGAAGAAGAGAAAUCGCUUUUUCGAAAUCCCAUCUUUUCAAUUACAUUAAGAGCUCCCAAACUUUGAGUGCAAUACCUUAAAAAUUUAUUCAAUACAAGUAAAAUGCUCGCAUAACCAUUACAUUCUCAAAGGAAGACAUGGUAAGCACAAAGGGUAGAAUUUAUUACCGUAUCAUGGAAUCGGAUGAACCUGAUAAACAAUACCUGCAAAUAGGUGUUUAAAAGCAAGUUAGUCUUGUUCGUUUAAUGAGAAUGCAAUUCCCUGAUCAUUACUGGCAACUACCAACCUUCCAGUGGAAUCAAGGAGCAAUGUCCUGAUGUUAUCAGUGUGCCCUCGUAGUUUCAUGUUCUUUGAACCAGUUCGUGGAUCCCAAACACGUAUGACCUACAGAUUACAGAUAAAAAAAUGAGAAAAAAAGAUAAUAUUAAAGGCAAAAGGAUGUACUUUAGAACAACAUCAGUUGUAACACUUUAAAAGUCAGUGCACACACCUUCUCAGUGCCACCAGAAACAAGUACAGUUCCACUUUCAUUCAUAGCUAGAGCAUAUACUGACUCCUUGUGACCUUCGACAGCAACUGGACUAUAACAAUAAUGUGGUUCGGUGUUAUAUACAGACACGUUACUGCUAGUACUGCUACAGUGCGAACUUGCCAAAGGUUGCCUGUAAUUUUCAUUUGAGUAAUCAUCUUCCAUUGGCUCUACAGACUUAGCAACUGGGAUAACAGCUGCAUCAAUGUCCCAUAUAAAGACCUCCCCGCCAAGACCUCCAGAGGCAAUAAUAUUACUCUGAUAGUUAAGAACAAAACGAUCAAAGAAUAAAACACAAUAAAAAAUAAUUAGAGACUAUCUUAAAACAUUAGAAAGAAAAGAGCGUCAAUAUAAUAUUCAAAAGAUUACGUUUUUCACAGCUGUUGCAAGGCAAUUCACAUAGUCGGAAUGUUGACGAAGAGUGCUGGUACAAGCGCCAUCAGACAAGCUAUUCCACGUCUGGAGAAAAGAAGCCAGUUUGUAGUGUUACAACAGUCCAUUUUUUGAAAGUUUUUAAAUAGUGUAUCAAGAGAAGAACCUUAAGAGUUGUGUCUGAGGAACAAGAAACUAGAGUGCUACCGGUCAGAACUGCAUCAUUGACCUGCAUAACGAGUUCAAUAAUUUUACAAAGAAAAGAAGCACAUUACAAAAUUUACUAGCAGAUGGCAUCCAAAUUAAAUAUAAAGUGUAAAUCAUUUUAUGAAAAGUUUGCACAUUCACAUAUAGGACAUUUAGGAGUUUUAAUGACCAGUAAAUGUAUAUGUCUAAAACAGUCCUUCAAAAGUAUGUAUUUGCCUGGCUCAGAAAUAGCUUCUUUGGUAGAGAAGCAGAAGCAAGCUGUUUGACAUUGUAAACAUUACAACAGGCUUCUGUCAGAAGAAGAAACAAGAUUCUAGGAGCCAAAACAUACCUGAAAUAUAAACUUCUGAUUAUGGUCUAUAUGAGAAAUAAUACAAAUGUUUUGACAACAUUCUCAGAAUAAUUAAAAUGUCCCAAAACAAUACGUACAAAUUUAGUCUUCUAUGUACAAGUUUGCAUAUAAGAGGCACCUACCAUACUCCAUAUUUUUUAUGCCAUUACGAUCCAAACACUACGAAACUAAAGGCACUUAAUACCAAAUUGGAUCCCAGCAGAAUAAGCAGACGCUUAUUAUAUUAUUGCAGUUAGCAUAAAAAACCAAUAUCAUUAAGGCUUGUCAUGAUAAAGUGGCAUGAAACUUCAACAUGCCAGGAUGCCAAUCAUAAGCAACAAAAAAGGGUAAAAAGUACAAGCACAAUGACAACACAUCAACGUAUAUUUUGAACAAAAAAUAUAAGUGUAGCAUGUAUAGGGAAAAAAAGGAUAUACCCAGUCAAGAUGCGAGUCAAAUGUUGCUGAGAAGGUUGGCCCCUCAUCUGUGAGAGCCCAUCUUUUUAAGGUCCCAUCUCGGCUUCCGGUGAAAAGGUAAUCACAGCAAUCAGGAGUCGAACUUUGUAAAAGUGCUAGGCAGUUAACGCCUGCACAGUGCUACAAACAUAGACAACACUUAAACAAACCAUAUUAUCCAUAAUCUAGUAUUUAAGCUCAAAAUCUUGAAGAUCAUGCAGAAUGAAGGUGGAAGUAACCAACAUACCUUUGUGUCAUCUGCAUCAUUAAGCACAUAGGAUAACCGUUUUUCCUUUCGAGGGCGUGUUGAACCAGAUGUGGUACUACCACUCCCAACACGCUGCAUUGCAAAGGGUACCUGUACAAACAGCAACAGAACAAUAAUUUCUCGCUCCCUUAAUGAAAGUACCAUCAAUACAACGACUUACGGGAUCAAACCAAAAAAAGCAAUAUGAAUGAUAUAUACUAUGAUGCACUAAUAAUAUAUUUCCCUUCUAAACUAAUUACCGAAAGCGAAAGCAGGGCAUCUAUCCUCAUCCGCGGUCAUAAAUUUAAACAAGAAAACUACAACACGUUAAAAUAUUUGUGUUCAAACUAGAUCUCAUUUUAAAAUUUUCAAUUAAGAAAUAGCAUGAAGCUAUUUUAAUGUAACAGGAGAGAAAAUGAUCAAAAUCACAUGAAAACUAACAGCACAGUAAAAAAUACAGCUAUCCUCAAACUAAUGUGCUAAUUACAUUCACAUAAUAAACGAUGUACAAAUACGGUUAGUCAUAAACUAAUCAUUAAGAAAUAAUGAAACGAAAGAGUAGAAGAUAAUUGAACAAUGCAAAACUAUAUACGCCAUAAAGAAGCAGGAGAUAUAAUUAAUUACUAUCGCCGGACUAGAUGAAAAGCUCAGAUUGCUUAUAUGAUUUACGAGAUUUUCUCCAUUAUAUCUCGUGCAUUGUCUAAACAAAUUACUUAUCAAGUGUUCUCGAUCGGAUUAAAAAGAGACUGGAACAAUCCUACUACAUACCAAAGCAUCAGAUUACUCGAGGAAAAGUAGAAUUACUUUUGACAACUUAAAAAUCGAAAACGUAGACGACGAAGAACACUGCAAUGCAAAAUUACGGUAAGUUUAGCAAUUUACGUAAUGUUGGCUACUUCAGAGUAUACGAUUCGUGACCUUCACCGUGGAGCAAACAGAGCAAGAAAGCAAAGGAGUACGAAGAAGCGGUGUAGGGAGAACGCAAGUGGGAACGCGAGGGUUAGGGUUUUGAUGGAGAGAGAGAAAGGAAUCGAGAUUGAGGAAGCGACGAGGGAGGAGAGAAGAGGAGAGAGAGAGAGAGUGGGACGGCACGAUCGACGGGAUGAACAACAGUAGAACGUCCAAGCACAGGGGCGUAUUUAUUGCAUGAACCUUGUGUAUGCGACAAACAGUGUCCACCGUCCGUUGACUCUUCAAUUCAAUCUUAUACUUCAAAUCCAACCGUUGAAACCUAUUAACAAAGCGAGAUUGGUACAUGGAUGUACGAAAUAAAUCAGGUGUUGGUAUAGUAAUAUCUACGCGGGGCGGGGAUUGAACUAACUAGGCCGUUUCGGCCCUAUUUGGUGUACUGGGCCGUUGAAUGUUCGGUGUUGAUAAGGCACAGGGCACAGUUUAAUUUGGGCCAAAUUUGAGAACAAUUCUCUACCCUGUACAGGAACGUGCGAAGCACAUGCCCUUAGACUCUGGACGACAAAAAAAAAAAGAGAAAAAAAGAAAGAAAGAAAAAACCUCUCCGACCUUUUUUUUUUUGUCCAUUGCGCGCUCCCAUUUCCCGCUCGAUCCCCUUUUCCGCUCUCUCACUCAAAACCCUAAAUCCUCCCCCCAAAAUUCGUAGGGAACCCCCGAGGAGAAAAUGGCGCUAAAGAAGAAGGGCGACGAGGGCUCGGCGGAUCCGAAGAAGCGGAGGCGCGUUGGAUUCGCCAGUAUUGGUAAAAACCAGUUUAGAGGACAUUAAUCCUUUUUGAUCCCUCUAAUCCCUCGUUCUCCUUCCUCCGAUCGUUUUCUAGUGUGUUGUUUUGUAAUUAUCUGUAUUUUUUUUCAUGCUAGUUCAUGAUUUUUCCUUUUAAGCCACAAAUUGCGAAAUUUGGAGUUUUAUUGUUGCAUUUGGAUGGCUUUUUUUCGUUCUAUAAGGAAAAGUAGUUGCCUUUAAGUGAUGUAGUUCGCCUGAUUGUUAUUUUAUUUACCCCUUGACUUUUGCCUUGCAAAGUUAUUUCGCUACGGAUUUGCUUUUCUCUCGCUUCCUCGUUGUUAUGUGCUUUCUUAUAGUUUAAUCAAAUGAUUUUUACUUCAACUUCUUUAUUUUCCUUUGAUUUGUAGAUAGUGGAGUCGAGGCGAGCGAGUGCAUCAAAGUUUUCCUUGGUAUGAGGUUCUCUCCUUGUUGUUACUUAUUCUGCAACAGUUUUUCUAACUCUUAGGAUUGUGAAGAUGUGAAAUUUUGAAAUAGUGGCAUGAUUAAAUGCAGUCACUUUCUAUUUACUAUGCUAAUAUUAUCUUGCUCAUGGUUAUUCUAAUUGAUAUUUUAGAAAGAGUAGAGAGGCGGCUAGUGAGAAAAUCAGUUCUCUUAGCUCAUUUUUUGCAAAUCUUUUUGCAUUGUCUAAGUGCUGAGACCCAGCAUUGUAUUUAAUCUCUAUCAUUUUUCACCUUAUAGCUAGCUAAGAUUGUUCAACUAAUUUGCAUUUUGUAUUUGGCUCCACUUCAGUAAAGAAUCAAGAUGAAGUGGGUGCACCAAGCAGCACUUGUAUUGAUCCUGUUGACCUUAAUCAGUUCUUUGGUGAAGAUGGCAAGAUAUAUGGUUAUAAGAACCUAAAGGUGAGCACAGUUUUGAUAUUUUACUAUUGGAAUUGCUCGUGUAGCUUAUUACAUCUGUAGCUGGUGCCUCCUUUUCUUACUUAAUCCCUUGUUAUACCAGCUGAGCUGUUCUAUUCUAUCUAUAGAUUGAAUGUCUGACUGUUCUAUUCUAUCUAUAGAUUGAAUGUCUGAACAACUGGGUACUCAGGAAGUGGAUUCUUGUGGGUAGUUCUUCUGUUGCAAUGAGAUCACGGAUGAUGAACUUAGCCUUUGAAAAUUGAAACACACGUGGGUGCAGCUGUAGUUAGCUUUACCUGACUCGUGUUGCUUAUAUAUUUGUCCCUGUUUAUAUUAUGGCUUUCCAACAUCAUGAUUUGACCCAACCAAACCUUGCUCUAUGCAAUCCUGUUCUAAGUGAGCUAAGUACCAAGACUAGUUUACAGAAAUGUGAGUACCUGAUCAACCUUCUGGAUUUCUCAUCACACCUCCUAAGAAGAUUUAUGAGUAUAAUAUAGUAAAAGGUUUUUGGUCAUAACAUGGUUGAAGGUUGUUGAAAUAGUAUUGAAUAGCUUGUUAUGCCAGAAGAUGUAGUGUGUAAUAACAGUAAUUGAGCAAUAUUCUCCUAAAUUUACUGGAUAAAUUUGGUAGUUCUUGUUCUUGUCUUGUCCUGGGAUAGUGUCCCACUUCGCCCAGUUGAAAGCAUUAAUCCAUUAUUUGUUGGAAAUUGAGAAAAUUGGUGUAAGAGAUCUUAUUCUCCUUUUGGUUGUUACAUUUUGGCAUCUAGUUUUUUCUUCUUAUUUUUAGUUGCAAACUUGGGACUCAUUAGCCUUUUAUCUAUUUUGCCAUGGAUGAUUUGAGCAUGACCGCAUAAGUUUGUUUGUUUGGCUGAUGUGAGUACUACGCUUUGCUGCGAUUCAAGUGUAACUGGUUUAUUUUAUUUUAUUUUAUUUUAUUUUCAUGACUAAUAUGAUCUCUAUGCCACUUUACCUAAUUGAUUGACCUUAGAAUUUAUGUCCUAAUAACUUCUUAAAAUCUCCUUUGUCUUUCUGUGUUUGCUUAUUGUGCUUUUUUACUUUUAACAUUUUUAUGUGUGAAGACUGGAGAUGGAUGUGGACAUAAAAGUAUGCUUUUGUGUUGUUUUCCUAUAAUAAUAUGAAACCCUCUGAACAUCAUUUCGUGUUUGUAGAUUAUUGCAAGAAAUAUAGCAAGAUGUAUCAAAUACUGUCUAUUGUCGCAAAUGUGUAAAACAAAACAAAAGCCUUUCUCUAUUCAGCUGUUUCUCUCUCUCUCUCUCUCUCUCUCUCUCUCUCUCUCUCUCUUCAAUGUGUUCUCGUACAUUGAUCAUUUAUAUUGCUGCCUUUUUGUGUAGAUCAAUGUGUGGUUGAGUAUCAUAUCAUUUCAUGCUUAUGCUGAGAUUUCGUUUGAGAGCACAGGUGAUGUAAGUAUUGUUGACCAUAUUGCAAGUGUUUGCAGUACCAUUCAUAGAAUCCAUUGAUCUUAUAUGUUAAGUUUGUUUUUCUUCAAGUUCAAGUAUCCAAAUCUACCUAAAUGAGCAUGGAAAGCUGCUUUUAGCAUUUUAGAUGCUGAUGCAUGCUAAUAAUAAUGUGUAUCCUGUAGAAACUGCUACUACCGUAUGCUUUGUUUAUUUUCUUUUAUUGAACACUUUAACUGCUAUGAGUUCUUAUAGGGUGGAAAAGGUAUCACUGAUUUGAAACCUGCCCUUCAGGUAAUCUAUGUUUAUCUUUGAAGUUGGUUAUUUCAGUUAUAAUACUCUCUUCUCCUAAGUAAAUUCUUGUCUGAACAGAACAUUUUUGGGGAAUCUCUAUUAGAGAAAGAAGAAUUUCUUCAAACCUUCUCAAGGGAAUGCUAUUAUCUCAGGUAGUGAUUUGUUGAACUGCAUGGAUUAUAUUGUUGUUUUUCCUUGUCUCAUCAGAAUCUUACUUUUUUUUCCUUCUUCUUUAUAUCUGAUUUUACUGGUCUCAGAAAUAUCACAUCAAACGGAACAGUCAUUUGCACCGAUACCUUCAAGGAGGAAGGUCAUGCUUCUGACACACACUUGGAUGCCGAAAGUCCUACAGUUGAGGUGUUAAUUAUUCACAAGCCCUGGAAUCUGAAUUUAGCUAUCUCUGUUUUAUAUAUGAGUAUCUUUUCCUCACUCUCAAUGUAUUAAAUAAUGCAUUAUGGUUUAUCUUUCACCAUGUGCUCUUUUUAACCUCCUUGUAUAGAAUUUAAUUGCUCUCGUAACUUUUCCCUUUUCUUUUAUAGAUUAUUCCAUCAAAUUCUUAUUUGAUCAAGUUAUUGGACAAGCCAUAAUAUUUUCUUCUAUCUGAGUUCUUUUUAGUAGUAUCUUUCCUUGCAUUGUGAUACAUAAGUGUUAAAUGACACUUUUUGUCUCAUGUCUCAUCAUUCCAGAUUGUUCGCAUGAAACUGCACAAUGAGCCUGCCGGUUUGCUUUACAGUCGUCUGGUGCCCCUUGUACUCCUGCUCGUUGAUGGUUUUUACAAAUAUUCUACUGCCUCUUAUGCAUUAAAAUUUUCAUUUCUGUACUCUAUCCACAAUUAUGUCAUUUGAAGAACAAAAUAACACGGUAGUUUGUAUGAUUAGGUGGAAGCCCUGUUGAUGUCACUGAUCCAAAGUGGGAAAUAUUUUUGGUAGUGAAGAAGAUACCAGCUUCAUCAACCAACUGCAUUUACCAAUUGCUAGGGUUUGCAACUGUUUAUCGCUUCUAUCAUUACCCUGAUAGUUCCCGAUUGCGAAUCAGCCAGGUUAGCUCUCCAAUAUGUUACGCUUAUGACACAACUGAUAUUUUGUUUAUUAUAGUAGCAUUAUUUUGCGUUGACUUGAGACGAACUUUUGAAUUUAUCUUCGUGAUCAUGAGGUCCAUUGAUAAAUGGACUGUAACAAACUUUUGCUUUGUGGUUAUUACUGAAACAAAUCUAAUAAACUUUUCUUAGUACCUUUUCCUGACUCAUAAUUAAAAUAGGAAUUUUUGCAUAUAUACCUCUGCAAAUAUGACACCCCCACCAGAGAUUCCUAUGCAAAACUGUUUUCACUUUAUAUAAUAUGCCCCUGGCAGGUGGAUGAAUGCAAAAAUUACUGUUUUUAGGGUAAUGCAUGAAAAGCCAACGUUCGAAAGACUAUAAAUGCAUUUUCACAUAUUUACAGGCUGGUAUAUAUGCAAAAAAACCCAAUGAACACAUGAAUUGAUUCUGCUCGAAUAUUUUGCUCAUGUUUCUUAUUCUUUUCUUAGAUAUUGGUGUUACCGCCUUAUCAGAAUCAGGGCCAUGGUCGGCAUCUUCUUGAGGCCGUGAAUUCUGUUGCGUCAUCCGAGAAUGUGUACGACAUUACAGUCGAAGAGCCAUCUGAAUAUCUUCAAUAUCUCCGUAUAUUCAUCGACACUCUCCGCCUUCAGAGUUUUGAACCGACCAAACUGGCCGUAAAUACUGUCAUCUCCUUUCUGAAAGAAGUAAAUUUGUCGAAAAGAGCUCAAAAAUCAAAGAUGGGCCCACCAUCAGGCCUUAUUGAGAUUGCCCGCCAAAAGCUGAAGAUCAACAAGAAGCAGUUCCUUAGAAGCUGGGAGGUCCUUGUUUAUCUAAACCUCGACCCUCAGAAUCCAAGGUGCAUGCAGAAUUUUAGGACAUGCAUUGAGGACCGCAUUAAAGGGGAGAUACUCGAUAAGGGUGCUGAGAGUAACGGGAAACGGCUUAUUGAAGUGCCUACUGAGUAUGACAAUGACAUUAGUUUUGUCAUGGUGUGGUCACAGGAUGGGGUAGAAGGGGACAGCUUGGAGGGUGAGGUGGGGGGCGACCGGAAGGCGCAGGAGCAGCAGCUGAACGAGUUGGUUGAAAAGGAAAUGGAGGAUAUUGCUGAGAUUGCUAAAAAGGUUUCUUCAUUUUGCAAGAGUGAUGAGAAACAGAUGGGACAAUGCUAGAAUCCGAAGAUUUGCUAAACAAGAAAAGUGGGUUGCUUUUUUUAAAAAAACUUUCCUGCAUCCUAAUGGUUGAUUCUUGGAUUGUAAAUUGUAACCGUAUGAGUAAAAACUGGAGGAUGAGAGAAUAUGCGGCGAAGACAUCAUGAGAGGGCAGUGGAGAGUUUCAGGUUUUGAAAGAAAAUAUAUUUGUCGUUGAGAGUUGGAGAGUAACCUUGUCAUCUUGGUGAUGCUAAGAGGCUCUUACAAUAUUAGGAAAAACGUUUUGGAUACUCUCUUUUUAUGAAGUUAGUUAGCUACAUGGUCUUGAAUUGCUAUGCCAACUUCAGAAUUUUUUUCUUUUUUUCUUUUCUUUUUUUGGCGCUAUCGUGUGUUUCUGGUUCAUUCGACCCUUUCAUUUUUCUGGCGGUUAGCUUGAUGCAGCGAUGAUUCCUGUUUGGAAGUGUAUUUUCCAUAGAUUAAGUUUGUUUUUUUUUUCAAGUAAUAAUAAGUUUUUUUUGGGUUAAGAUGAGUAUCAAAUUUGAACUUUCAUUUUUGUUGAUUAGAAGCUUAUCUCUAUUUUCUUCUAGUUUAGGCCUUAACCAUGUUCCUGAAUCAAAUGUGCAAUUCUGCUGGAUUAGAAAUACCGCAGUUUGAACUUUGACCUCUUUACGAGAAUAAAAUAUGACCAAAUGGUUCAAAACGUGAUAGCAUUAGCUGAUAUACCUCGGACUAUAGAUGCCUAUUCAUUCCAUUACCCCUAAAUGCUUAAGCAAACACACACCAAAAAAAUAAAAAAAGAUCAUCUUAAUCUUAAAUUAAAUAUUUGAACCUAGUAUAAAGUUUCCGCUGAAUUGACGUAUACACGAAAACAUAUUCACAUCAGAAUAAUAUAAACCUUUCUAAUUAUUUCAAUAUUUCCAGAGCAAAUAUGGAGCCAAUUGGAUUUUUUAAAAAAUUCUUAACAAAAAUAAAAACAAUUGGUAGAACCUUUACGCACUGAUGCGUAGAUUGGUGUAAAUAUAGAAACUCUUGCUAUUUAGUUCUAUUAUACAAUUUGUUGGUUCGUUGGCAUAUGUAAUAUAAACAAUUUUAACUAAUUCGCAUAUACAUUUUAAGAAUCCGCGGACACUCUUCUAAAGACCGAAAGGUUUUUUUUUUUUUUUUUUUUUUUUUUUUUUUUUUUGAGAGAUAGAUAGCACGCUACCCCGUUUAUUUUAUUUAGAAAUAAAUUUAGCUGAAUAUGUGAAUCAACUAGGAUUCGAACUUGGAUCUCGGAUACCAACCAUCAAGUUCUUUGUCACUUGCUCUAGGGACGAUCGGUAAGACCCAAAGGUUGAAAUAUCAAAAUUCUAGAGAAAUUCCGUGAAUUCAAAGGGAGGGUUCGAAGAGCAGUUUAGUCAAUAAAUCCGGACGUACGCGGCAAUUCAAAUUAUUCAGCCAACCAACUUAGAAACAAUUUAUUAUCUUUCAUCUUUUUUAACUUCUAGAUGAAUACAGUGCCUUGUCAAUCCUCCUGCAUGUGACUGUGAUGCAGGGAUUUUUUUUUUUUUUUUUGGGAAAACUUCAAAAAAACUCUAUUGUGGUUUCACUUUUUCUCACUUUAAUACCCUGUGGUUUAAAGUGUACCAAGUUAGUUUUCUGUGGUCGCACUUUCUCACUUUAGUACUCUGUGGUUUAAUAUUUUAUUCGGAAAAAAAAAAUCAUAUGGUACUAACUUGAUACAAAAAUAAAACAACAUAGUACUAAUUUGAUAUAAAAAUAAAACCACAGAGUACUAACUUGAUACACUUGAAAUCACAUGGUACUAAAGUAAGAAAGUGCGAAACCACAAGGUACUAAUUUGAUACACUUUAAACCACAUGGUACUAAAAUAAAAAAGUGCGAAACCACAAUGGGGUUUUUUGAAGUUUUUCUUUUUUUUUUUAGAGUGAUAGGUAGCACGCUACCCGUUUCGUUUAUUUUAUUUAGAAAUAAACUUAGCAAGAAAUGUGAAUCAACUAGGAUUCGAACUUGGAUCUCAGGUACCAACCAUCAAGCCUUUUGCCACUUGCUUUAGAGACUGUCGGUUGAUGUAGGGACUCUCACUUCCUGUAAUUAGAAUUUCAAGAGAAUAUGCCUGAAAUAUAUUCUACUUGCAACGUAAGCAAAGCCAAUUAAGAGGAUGAUUGGGCGGUGUGGUUUGGAAAUUUUUUAUUUUUUAUUUUUUAAAAAAAAUCUCUCUUCUACAUAUUCUAGAAGAUUUUGGCCUGCGUAAUCACGAAUAAAAAAAAAAAAAAGAGGGUUAAUUGCAUCACGGGAUUCCUACUUUACUUUAUUCGGCUUUUAAUUUGGUCUCAAUCAUUUAUUUGGUUUAGUCAGAUUUCAAAUCUUUAUUAUUUAUGUAUUUUAAUUAAGUUUCUAUCAUCGCUGUUAACUCUAAAACGAGCCACCAUGCCAGUACCAAAACUUUUGCGGCAUGGUAGUUUCUAACGUGUGUAACAUUUGUAAUAAUGGAAUUUUAAUUAAAGGUAAAAAUUGGAGAUCAAUAUUGCAAUUAAUCUUAAUAAAAAAAUUAACCCUAAUAAAAAAUAAAAAUUUCAGCGCGGGCCGGGCACAGUGGACGCCCGCUGCGCGCAGGUCCGACCAGCGGCGUACAGAGCGGAGCUAUGUGGUGGCUGAGGGGGGCCAUGCCCCGCCGCCCACCCCAACUUUUCAUAAUUUACAUAAGUCCUUUACAUAUAAAAAAUUUAUAUAAUAUAUUUUUAUUUAAUUUUAAAAGUUUGUUGAGUUUAUUUUAAAAAAGUUCUUGGCGCUAAUAUGGUGCUCUUUUAAUUCUGAGUUUAUUUUUAUUUUUUUAUUUAGUAUUUUCAUAACUUCUAAUUAUUUUAAAUAAUUUUUUUAUUUAAUUAAAUUAAAGAUUAUAUUAAAGUUAAUAGCUCUGUCAACUAAUAGUCAUCAAUUGUCAUAAUUAUAUUUAGUAAAAAUUAAGAAAUUAAAUUAUUCACUGAAUUACUAUUUGAUUUAGUAAAUUUCAAAAUUAUUUGAGUGAAAUAAUAUAAAUAAAAUAAUUAAAAUUUAAGUAAGUAUAAAUAAAAAAGGGUAAUACUUUUUUACACUAAUCAUCUAGUUAAUAUAUUUUUCUCUCAAAAAUUUGACUAGGUAAAUUUUGUCUAUUUAUUUGAUUUGCAUAUAUUUUGACCCCUCUCAUAAUCGAGUGCUAGCUUCGUUCGUGAGUGGACCCUUUUUUUUUUCUUUUCUUUUAUUGGUGCGCAAAGCAAAAAUAAAAAAAUUACAACAUAUGCAAUUCUUUUUAAUUCACUAAAAAAAAGACACGUGAGGGGGCCGUUUCAACCUUUGUCUCCAUCACUUUCUUCGGCGAGGAAAAAAAAAACACUAGAAAAAAAAGGGAGAGAGAAAAAUUAGUUUAUUAAAAAUUUAGAUUGAAUUUGCAAAAAAGACUGCUCAGCUUUACAAACGCUCAAAACUUGUGGAUUUUGUAUGCAAAUUGGCCUUUUACCGGUAGGCUAUAAAACCUACCUCUAAGGACCUUUUGAAAAUGUUAAAGUUUGGGAGGAUCAAUUAUCGUAAACUUUUUUUAGAUACCGCUCAUUCAAAAACCGCGGGAUCGCCGACCCCUGCUUUUAAUUUAAUUUCUAUAUAUAAAGUUUUUCUUCGUCCCACUUCCCCCGCGUUCAAACACCUUCGCUCGUACGUCAUAAAAUUAACAAAAAAACCACUCUACACUAAUCACAAAAAAGUCUCCGAAAAUUCGCCACCCGUUUUUCCUCUCGUGCCCAUUAUUACCUCAAUUUCUAUUAAAUAUUACCUCGUCUUUCGCCCCCUCCUCCUCCUCCUCCUCCUCCGCAUACUAAAACCCUAGAAGGGUUCCUCUCCUUCCUCUCUCCUCGUUCGUCGUUGGAUUCCUCGGGAACUUAGAUCAAGAUGGGGAUUGAGGACGAAUCGCUUUAUAAGAUCGUUAGAGGAGACUUUGGGUACGUCCUGGAAGACGUUCCCCACCUCGCCGAUUACCUCUCCGAUCUCCCUGUGAGUUUGAUGCUGUGUUUGUUCGAUUUUGGAUUUGUUUCUUCUCUUUGCUGGUGAUUUUUGUGAUUUUUUUUGUCUUUUUUUUUUUUUUUUUUUUUUUUUUUUUUGCUCUCAGUUGAUAGUUUAAUUGCUGUGCAACACCGGAUAUUUUUUGUAAGUUAUGUGGUAUAGAGUUGGUAAUUGGGAAGGGGGGGGGGAACUGGAAUGCUAAGUUAAGAUGAUGCACAAAAUAGAAAAAAAAUGAGGAGCGAAGAGAGGAGAAAUCGCUGGGGCGUAACAUCAAAUUGAUGAUAUUGAUCUGUGCAUGAAUAUGCUAUAAUGCUGUGUUGUCGUGAUUAAAUAUGUAUCUUUUGGAGAUCAAUUGCUUCGGAUAAUUCUUUGUACUUUUUCUAUAUAGUGAACCAUUCUUCUCAAAGCAAUUCUAAUUUUAUAGCUGAUCUCAAGUAUUGCUACUUGAAUAAUCAACAUGAGGAAAGCUCUUCUUUAUUUUCUGUCACCAUUUGUGAAGUCAAUUGUCGCAGUUUCGCUUAGCAACAUAAAUGUUUGUUUAGUAACUAUUUAAGUUCAUUUCUUCAUAGUUGUACUUGAAAUGGUUUGGUGAUCUUUCUUUGCAGACUUAUCGGAAUCCGCUCGAAGAUAAUGCAUCUUAUGCAGCGGUCAGGUGCGCUUGCUGCUUCUAUCUGUGAUCUCAAAUUUUGUUUAUCUAUGUUAAGUCAGCACGUAAUGAUGUUUGUUUUGCAGCAUGAUUUAAGUGUUAAAUGCUGAAUGACUAAUAAUUUUCUUCUGACCAGGCAAUACCAUAUUAACGAAGACGACACAAUCACCAAGAAGGUUACUUUUCUCUUUAUUAUGGCGUUUCUCCAACUAGCGAUACCUUUUAUUUUACAAGUGUCCUUAUUGCUGUAUCUUUAUUUCACAACUGUUUUUCUGGACAGAUUGUUGUUCAGAAGAACAGCCCACGGGGGCCGCACUUCAGGCGUGCUGGCCCCGGAAAGAGGGUAAGUUGCUUUGAAACAUGUUCCCGCAACUGCUGUAUCUCCGUGCCUAACCUAGACUAAUGCAAAGCGUUGCAUAUUAUUCAGGUGUAUUUUCAAUCAGAUGAGGUGCGUGCUUGCAUCGUAACUUGUGGAGGGCUUUGCCCAGGGCUCAACACGCUAAUUCGGGAAUUAGUUUGUGGUUUGUCCCACAUGUACGGUGUUGAUCAAGUACUUGGAAUAGAGGUGAGGGAUCUAUGACUUUUGGUUUCGAACUUUUUAUUUACUGGGUUUCAAAUUUAACUUUCUGUGCAUUGGUUCACUGCAAGUGUAUAAGUAUGUGCUCUCUUUACUUGAUCAUAAGGACAAGCAUGCUGCUGUUUGUCGUCUUGACCAUGUGACUUUAAUGUCUUUGCAUUAUGAUUUACAGAGUUCAAUUGAGAUACUCUGAUUUUACCUUUUUUAUUUUGUUUGCAAUCUGGUUUUGUACCUUUGAAUCCGGCAACAAAUUAACUGGCACGGGAGAAAGCAUACCAAAAUUUUGAAGCGAGACAAGAAAAACAGCUCUCUUUUUUUUUUAUUAUUAGAUCACAACAUUUGGUGUUUCCGUAGAAAAUACAUUUUAUGACUCAACUGGCAGACAGAUUAUGGAGUUCGCUGCAUGUGUUUACAUUUCAUAUUGGUCAUUGCUUUGACUUUUCUGAUCUGUUGUGUAUAUAGGGUGGAUACAGGGGAUUCUAUGCUCGAAAUACUAUAACCUUGACACCGAAGAGUGUAAAUGACAUUCACAAGCGUGGUGGCACCAUUCUUGGCACAUCGAGGGGUGAUCAUGACCCUAUAAAAUUAGUAGACAGUAUUCAGGAUCGUGGGAUUAAUCAGGUAAGAAGGCACCAAAAACCAAAAAAAAAAAAACCAUAAUAUCUGAUUUUGUCACUUGCAUAUCAUGGCUGGCUCUAGCAUUCAAAAAAUACCUGAGCGUGUGUAUGUGUUCUCACUCCAGGUCUACAUAAUAGGAGGAAAUGGAACUCAAAAAGGUGCCUCUGUCAUCUUUCAGGUAAUUACAGUUGGGAGAUGAAAAGUGCUAUGCUCUAAGAUCGCAGAUUGACAUGCAUAAUCAUAGCCCAAGAUAUGUCUAAAUGAAUUUCAUUAAAGUUCAAGGACCAUGAGAUUCGUCCUAUGUGGCCUUCUGCUUCUAUUGUGAUCCCUAAUAGAUAACAAUUAAUUUAACCUCUCUUUAGAAGGAUCGCAAAAUGAUAUGAUUAGCUUCUAGCUGCUGAUACAUAAACUGAACCAGGAGAUUCUCAACUAUAGAUUCCUUCUGCUUGCUUUUGUAGUUCUGUUGAUCUCUCGAAAAGCUAGUAAGUUAUCUGCUCAAGUUUUGUAUAAAGUAACUAACUUGGGCACUUGCACCUGAAGGAAAUUCGAAGACGUGGUCUCAAAGUUGCUGUUUGUGGAAUUCCCAAGUCGAUAGAUAAUGAUGUUGCGGUACUUCCUCCUAUUCAGUUCUUCUAUUCCUAUUUCGAUAAGUCAUGUGUCUGAAAUAGUUUAACUUAUGUUCAAAUUUCUGGUUUUUUUUCUUCUUCUUUUUUGUCAUUGGUUCAGGUAAUUGACAAGUCCUUUGGUUUUGAUACUGCUGUGGAGGAGGCCCAGCGCGCCAUUAAUGCAGCACAUGUGGAAGCAGAGAGUGUCGAGAAUGGCAUAGGCGUCGUGAAGCUCAUGGGUCGCUUUAGUGGUUAGUUUUCCAAAUUUUUUUGGGUUGAGAUACCUCAAGUUGAGAAACAAAUUGUACUUUAGUCUCUGACAUUUGAACCCGGUUUAAGCCUUCAUGCAGUUUUUCUUUACAGAAAUAAAUGUUCUAGUAUUGUUAGUUUAUUCAUCCUUUGAUUUUUCUAUCAUGUUCUUGAAUUCAACUAAUAACUGCUGUUAGCGACAUCUUACCUCACUUUUAACAAGCUACACUGAUGCAGGUUUCAUAGCAAUGUAUGCUACUCUUGCUAGCCGAGAUGUGGUGAGUGUCGAGUAUCCUAAUGUUGGCUAAGUUGAUUAUAUAUUAGCAAUUAUGUUUUUCCCGAGUUUUUUUUUUCUUUUCUCUUUUUUUUUUUUGAAAGUUUAGCCAAAAAGCUCAUUUUCAAGGUGAUAACUAUAACGACUCGAUCUGCUAGCAAUAAUAACUCGUUGGGUUCAAAUCACCGGCCCAAAAUACUUAAGCCCAGUUAUUAUUACUAAUGUGUCCGUUACUUAUAAAUCCAUCUGACUCUUCCACAUUAUCCAAUGUAGGACUAUUGGGAUGUCACAAUAACCGUUUCUGUCCCUUUCUUGUAGGACUGCUGCUUGAUUCCAGAAUCACCUUUUUAUCUGGAAGGGAAAGGUGGGCUUCUUGAAUUUAUAGAAAAGCGGCUUAAAGAGAAUGGACACAUGGUUCUUGUGGUUGCUGAAGGUGCAGGACAAAAACUAAUUGAAGCAUCCAUGAAAUGCAUGGACAACAAAGAUGCUUCUGAAAACUUGUUGCUUCCUGAUGUUGGGAUGUGGCUAUCUCAGAAGAUAAAGGCAGAACAACAAACUCUCUUAUAACAUUUUUCUUUUUUAUUCAAAAAAUAAUACUUUUCUUUUUUAUUUUCUUUGUACAGGAUUACUUCAAAAGCAGAAAGAUGCUUCUAAAUCUCAAAUACAUAGGUAUGCUACUUGGUUUUGGCUUCUUUUUUCAUCCAGUUCUUUGUAAAUCACCAACUAAAAUUUAUGAUCAUCUAAUUGUAUCAACACAAUUUCUAAAUUUUUGUUGGCAGAUCCGACAUACAUGAUUCGUGCGAUUCCUAGUAAUGCUUCUGACAAUGUCUUGUGCACGCUUCAGGCUCAUUGUGCCAUUCAUGGCACGAUGGCAGGAUAUACUGGUUUCACUGUUGGGCUAAUUAACGGCAGAAAUAGUUUUAUACCAUUUCAUGUGAGUAUAAACUACUUUUCAGUCUUUAGUGAUAAAUUUGGAGAUUAUUUCACAGAUAUCCUAUAGCAACUGUGACUUGUUAUUUCAUUUUCAACCAUUUUUAAUUCUAUGUAGUAGCAUAGUUCUGACAUUACACAAAAAUGGACUCAUUUACAUCCGACGAACCAUCAAAACAACAUAUUUUUUUUUUGUAACAAUACUAAGUAAUUCUCAGAUAAGAGAGUUCCUUAGACUUUCAGAAAGCUUGGCUAUAAUGAUGGCAAAAGGACUGAUGAACCUAUCUUAUGUAGUUGGGACAUAAGGCACUAUUCUUGUUUCACUAACAUAUUAACAAGCUCAGAAACCAUUGACUAUGGUUUCUUACAUUUUAGGAUUUCAAUGAAUUAGUCACAGUGAUAAAACACUUAAGUAAUAACGCUAAAUUUCUUCCCAUACUCCUAUUAUUUAGCUUGAUCUUUUGUCUUAUAUUUGUCUUGUGACCUCAGAGAGUGACUCAAUCACGGAACAAGGUAUCAAUAACUGACCGGAUGUGGGGAAGGUUACUUAUGUCAACUAACCAACCAAUUUUUCUAAGCCCCAGUGACAUAGAGGAGUUAAAGGAUCCCGAGGAGACCAUAAUAUCUGGUAAUUUGAUAGCAUCAGAAUUCUCACCAUGAUUAUACCAUUUGAGUUUAAUCCCAACUUUUCAAUUGUUACAUUUUUGUUUUCUUAACCGUCGAUUUUUCGUCGUAAUCCUACCUAUCACAAGCUGUCAUGCUAGGUGACUUUUUGAAUUUCUUAUAUGCCAAUUCAGUUGGCAUUUUCGUCCAAAUUAAUCUAGAAGUCUAAUAACGCAUGAAUAAUUCAGUUGGCAUUUUUUCAAAUGAAAUUUGUUACCUAACAUCUGAAAUUUGUGUAACAAAUUUCAAAUGUUAGGGACCAAUUAUAACACCUGAAAGGUUGUGGACCCCUGGUGCAGUGUAAUCUUUCGGCAGCCAACUUUAAAUCAUACUCAUUUUCUUUCUAAGUUUGCAACAUGUUAUAUUUCUUGUAUUUAAAUUCCUGUUGCUGUAUCUGAACAUGUAGAUGCAGAUCCUUUAUUAUCACCAUCAUCUCCUGCACCCCGACACUAAGAUCCGUCGAGCCAAGGCGGCGAACGCCUGAAGGAGAAACCUAGGUUGGAAAUUACUAUUGAGAAAUCAGACGUUUCUGCCGCCUCAUCACCAGGGCUUCAACCUUAUCAACGGCCUGGAUCAUCGUAUUGAGCCCUGGGUCUAGGUAGUCUCUUAAUCAAUAAGCAGGACAAGGGAGUGGAACCAAUACAAUCUUGUAGGAAGUAAACUUCUUUUUGUCUUCUCUCUUUUUUUAAUCUCGCUGAGAAGUUAUGAACUUGUGCACGUAUUGUGUGUAAAGAAUAUCUGUGUCCAUUCAGUGUGGUGGUUAAGAUUUGCCCUAAAUGAUAGGAAUAAUGCUAAAGGAUAAAGCGGAAUACAUUUUCUUAUCAGACAUUUUAAUAUCUUCGUGCAGUGAGAUUUCUUUUUCAUAAAACUUGUGUGUUAUAAAUUAGCUUUUAUUGUUGUUUUGUGUUUCUAUACUUUUUGUUACGCUAAAAAUUUUAUGAGGCUUUCCGGAGAUGAACACGGAACAUGAAAUGCUUAGGACACGGUAGCUUGACUGCUCCAAAAAAUUAGGAUAUGGGCAGAUAUAGACACCCUACCACUAAUAAAACAUAAUAUUAUUAAUAUAAAUAUAUUAUUAUAUAUAAAAUAUUAAUUUUAUUAAAAUAUUAUUAUAUUUUUUAUACGAAUAAAAAUUGAUUAAAUAUUUAUUGAUAGUUUAUAUAUUUUACAAAAAUAUAUUUUCUACUGUACAUAAUUUAUCUAUAUUACUUAAAUAAAUUUAUAUGCAUUCAUUACAAAUAAAAAUAUUAAUCAUCUUACCAUACAUGGAUAAACAAAACUAAUAUGUAUAUAUAUAUAAUAUUUAGCUACAGGCUACUACCAAGUUGUUUUCGAUAACACAGUUUUCGAAUAGACGAUCGGCUCCAUUAGACACGAUAUACGUUAUUGAAAACCAAGUUUUAUAUUUUUCAACAUUAUUUGAUUAAUGAUUAAAAAGUCUUAAAAUUGAUAAUUUUAAUGUGCCGAUGUGAUGCGUUUGUAAAUUUAACGAUAUAAAACAAUUCAAAUCCGUUGAAAUUUUUAUAAAUUUUUUUUCACUAUUUAGAGUAACAUCAGUACCUCUGAUCUUAAAUUUAAUUUUUUUAUUAUCGUUUUUUAUGAGAUUUUUAUUUUAAAUUGUUCAUUUUUAGAUUAUUUGUUUGAUAGAUAAAUAAUGUUGAAAAAUUCUAAAUUUGGUUUUUAAAUACUUUCAAUAGUGUAGAUCAAGUUCAACAGAGCCGAUCGUUGAUUUGGAAGCCGCACUGUCGAAAAUAAUUUGGUAGCACGGAGGACUUUGUACUACUGAUAAUAUAGUAGUUCUCUCUCUCUCUCUCUGUCUAUAUAUAUAUAUAUAUAUANUGCGCUAUAAAUCUGAGUGGUAUGCUUGCGUAGUUGCGUUGGACACGAGUCCGAUACAGAUACAUGCGCGUCGGAUACGAACGUGCGAGAAUUACAUUAGUUCCUAUAAUACAUAAAGAUUUUAUUAAAUUUGCUGGCUCUGUUAGUUACCUAUCAUUAAGUGCUCCAGCUUUAUUCGCUAAAAAUUAAUUAAAAUAAUUAAAUUUGAUAAAACCACCAGUAAAAUUCCAGCAAAGUUGCAAUUAUUUGAACUAAAAAAAAUCAAUUUGCACAAAGUUACCCAUUGAGGGGGGGGUCUAUUUCAAAAUUGCCUAUAUAGUUGAGGUGUUGUCUUUGUAAUGGGACACUAUAAAAAGGAGUGGGGAAAGCGAAGAGAGGCGAAGAGGAGCAGGGGAGAAAGGAUGGGGAUCCGGUUCGUCGUGCUGGUGAACAAGCAGGGGCAGACGCGUCUGGCGCAGUACUACUGCGACCACAUGACCGUCUCCGAGCGCCGCGCCCUCGAGGCCGAGAUCGUCCGCAAGUGCCUCGCCCGCACCGACCACCAGGUCCGCUAACUAAACCCUAAUCUCCCUCUUCCCCUCAUUUCUAGAUCCAUUCCCCCAAACAAUUCAAUUCCCUUCCCUCAGAUCUAUCGCCCCCUCUCUUUCUCCGCUUAAAAUCUCUCUCUCUCUCUCUCUAUAUAUAUAUCUCCUUGUUUCUCAAUUUUUAUUCCAUUUGGAGCAUUCCUUUACCAAAAUCAUGGUUUCUGAUGCGGCGCAGUGCUCCUUCGUUGAGCAUCGGAACUACAAGAUAGUGUACAGGCGCUACGCGUCGCUGUUUUUCCUGGUCGGAGUUGACAACGACGAGGUAUGGAACUCUUUGGCCACGUUCGUCGAUUAUGCCCUGUAUGAUCUUUCAUUUUGCUAGCGUACAGAUCUGGUAAACAUUUGCUUGGAUGGUAAGCAUAGAGCCGUGUAGGUGUGUGCAGGCGAUCUGUUUGAUUAAUGAUUUUCGUUUUGGUGCGUUUGCUUGUUUGAUUAAAGACCAUCCUCUAUUCUGAGAAUAAACUGAAAAUCAUGCGCAGAAUUUAUCGGCGUCACGAUUGUGCGGAUAUCAUGUUGGAAUCUUCUCAUUCUCUUUUGUUAAACAAAAAAAAAAAAGAGAAAAGGCCGCAAUCUCUACAUUAUGCUUUUAAAGAUCAUCAGUCGAAAGAAGGAUAAGAUCUUGGCUCUUAGCUGCUAAAGUGUUCUAGUUUUCAACAUCAUCUAAAUGGCACAGAUAGGAAGCUAAUGAGGCCUUUCUAGGUCAGAUCACAUAAAUCUUCUGGCAUUGAUGUCCUUUGGCAACCCCCCCUAUUGAAUAUUGGGGGCUCGUCCUUGUGCAAUUUGAGAAUAAACCAGUAGCAUGACCUUCUGAAAGAUCAACGGGUUUCAGAAUAAGCUGGAAGAGACAGACCUUGAUUAUCAAUUUCAUACUAUGUAGUUAUAUCCGAGCCUCAAUGAUAGUUUUGGAGCUUUAUUACUAAUCCAUUAUUUUUACAUGUGAAUUAUGUUUGUGCACAUCAAUCUUAUUGACUAUGUUAUGUUUGUGGUAAGAUCAUUAGCGUUUGUUGGCUGAGCCUCAUUUAUGAUUAGACAUCCUGAUAGGUUUCGAAAGUUUGCUUUUGCCGCAUUAUUUAUGUAAUUAUUAAGUAGUGAGAGUCUAAUUUGAAGUUCAACUCACAUAAUCGCUGUUAUCAUUUCCUCCACAGAAUGAGCUAGCAAUCUUGGAAUUCAUACAUCUCUUGGUAGAAACUUUAGAUCGCCAUUUCGGAAAUGUGGUAAGUUUUCCUUUCUUUGUCCUUGUUGUAGAGAUGAUUAAUCCUUUCUUCUUCUUCUUCUUCUUCUUCUUUUUUUCUUUCCUGCCCCUUCUAACUUCUUCAUCCUCGAAUCAUGCUAGUGUGAACUUGAUAUCAUGUUACAUCUUGAGAAGGCGCACUUCAUCUUGGAAGAGAUGGUCAUGAACGGCUGCAUCGUUGAAACGAAUAAAUCAAGUAUUUUGGCACCAAUCCAGCUGAUGGACAAAGCUUCUUAGCUCUCUUAGGGAUUUUCUCCUGCUGUUCUUUCACAUUACAUCAGUUUUUGCUUCAUGCAUGUGUUUCCCUUUCCCUUUCUCUUUCUCCUUUGCGGUUACUUGCGUUGCACUGUGAUUGAUCUUUGUGGUCAUCAUUGUUAGUUUCCAGUAGUUAUCUGUUAUAGAUAUUGCUGUAAAAAUAUUGGAUUUUUUUUUAUAUUAUUUUGUGAACCUGGCCAUAGGCCCCAUACUGGAAGGAACCAAUAGAUUCACCAAUGCAAGAAGUAGAAGUACGAGGCCCAAAUUUAAGGAAAUGUGUGGGGCCUGUGAAAAAAAUAUUAUAAGGGACCCUCCGUAACAGUCUAACCGAAUAAACCAAAUGUGUGCAUUGUAUGUGAUAAACCAGCGGAUUAGGCCUUCUGACCUUGUCUUUGUGUGGAGGCUCCCCAUGUAACUUAAUUUCUGCUGGGUACUCGAACCCAACCACAUAUGCGUGUGAGAGACUGUGGGUCAAAAGAUGCCACAUUCCGUAUCAAAUGCAGAAACACGUCGUUUGUUCUAUCAUUAAAGCCAUGUUCCAUGUAAAGAUCAGGAAAAGAUUUGUACAAAAACCGCAUGGAUGAUCACGAGACAACAGCAAACAUCUGUUGAAACUGCUAAUAGAAGGGUUUUAACAUUUUAUGAAGAAACGUUCAAUAGCCAUUACACCAACAAAAGAUUGACAUGAGAUCUCAGGAGUCAUACACAUAACAGAACGAAUAUUGAUAGGUUGAACGAGAAAAUGAAAAAACUGCGUUAUACGUAUAACAUACAGAAUCAAUAUAAGCAGCCAGGAAUAAAGUGUUGAACGGUGAAUAAAGAAUAAAAAUGAAGAUAAACCAUCAAUAAAUCUCAUUUGAAAUUUCCAAACUGCUGUUUGCCGAGGGUCGACAAUUUCUCACUCCCACCAGUCACCGUUGAAGAUGAAAUGCCAGACAUGCCCCAUCCGGUUCCCGUGCCCAUGGCUCUCCCCAUGAAUGCAGAAGCAGGAAGCCCUUUUUCCUUCUCAUCUGAUCCAUCACUUAGCCCUCCUACUAUCCCUAUAUCUGUGAGGUCUACCUUCUUGGCUGCAUCUCAAAAUAAAAGACAAAAAAGGAACCCGACAAAAUUAAUCAAUUCAAUCAUAAAUCGUAUCCUAAAACUAAAACCAGGAAAGAAGAAUAAGCCUUCGAGUAUAAAGAACUUAUGAUAGUACUGAGCGACUAGAGACUCACGAGCAGUUAUAUUCAGAUCAAUCAGCCCACGACUCAAAGAGUCAGCCCAUAUCCCAGACUUGACCUGGAAAGUAUCCUUCUUUGCAGUUGAUUUAGAUGCUGCUGACGAAGUCUGAUCCAACUUGCUACUUGCUGUUUCAGUGCUUGAAGUAAAGGGAUCAAAAGUGGAUGGUGCUAAAGGUGUUUGGUUCAAAUCGCUGAGACUUGGUGCGGAACUAUGUAAAGGCUCUGUGGUAGUUGAUACUGUUGAGGAAGCGAAGGCACCAAAUGGGUCAGAUCCCUCAAAACUGUUCAAUGGGAUUGCCGCAAAGGGAUCAAAAGUUUCGGUAUUUGCGGGUUCAGAAAUGGAAGUCUUUGUCUCAAAGGAUAAGUUUGAGUUCGGUGCAGCGCUGAAUUCUGUCUUUGAAGGAAAUGCAGCGGGAAAGGAAGGCUGACCAGCAAAGAGAUCAACAUGGCUCUGCAAUGUCAUUUUGGUAGAGAUACGCAAUGUUAGCAAAAACAAUUAGGGGAACUUAUUACAGUUCUAUAGAAACACUGACAUUAAACAGCAAAAAAAAAAUGUUGAAGAAAAUUUAUUUGGUUGUUUCACUUUUCACAUCCAAUUUAUUCAUUUUUCAGUAUCACCAUAGUAUAGGUAUGAAACAUAUUUGGUUCUUAGUUUUCUCACUCCUCUCAUGGACUUGGUUUAGUUUUCCGGUCAUGCAAGAAUAUCAAUUGGAUUUACAUGUGAUCUCUGAACUUUUGAUGAAUCACGAUUUAGUCCCCAAUUUUUUUUUCUUUUUUUUCCCUGAAACUUAUGAUAGUUCUAGCCUUACCUGAGCAUUAGAAUCUGCAGAUGCUUCUGUAUGUGCUGCAGCUGAUUGGAAGGUUGCAUCAGCAAAUAGAUCAGCCUCAGGUGCAGAAGCAGAACUGUUUAUUUCCGUUGCAGUGGAAAUAGGUACAUCAAUGAAGUCAUCCAUCAAGCUUGGUCCAAAGAGAUCCACCUGAUUAGAGCUUGUAUUAGCUGAUCCUAUGUAGAUAAGAUACUGAUCAGAAGCUUAUCACAAAAUCAGUCAAACUCGUAAUACAAAUGUGACACCCCAAUAAUCCCACAUCGAAUAGUUAUGACUAGAUGUGGUGGUAUAUAAGUUUGAUUAGGCUAAACAUGAUAACUGGGUUAAGCAUUUUGGACUAGUGGUUUGGGUCCAACGGAUUAUUAUUGCUAGCGGGUCGGGUCGUUACAACAAAUAAAGAUACAGUUUACUAUAGGUUGGUAAAAUAUCAUUACAGUUUUUUCUAGCAAGUAAUAGAAUAUCAUUAAAUUAUGCAUAUGAAAGUUUAAGACAAUGAGUUGAUCCUGAUUUUCCCAGUAGUGAAAUUAAAGGAAUAAUGCACCAAAAUAAUACCUUAGGAUGACUAAUUUAAACAAAAAAUGAGCUCCUUGUAGCUGAGCAACUUAUAGGUAAAGGAAAGGCAGUUUAGAGAAACAGAUAGUGAUAUACCAAAUAUAAUGAUGCAAGUUUUGAUUAUAUACCAUAACAAGCCUGUUCUUCUUAAGAUUUGUAAGCUGCUAAAUGUUUACCGUCAGUAAGAUCUCAAGUUAUUUAGUUAAAAAUAUCACAACCAAUUUAUUGUAUGGAUGUUAGGUCCCAGAAAGAUCACAUUCCAUCUAAGCAUUAAACAGUAUUGUUAUGCCACUUCACUAAUGCAAACGAACCGAAAACAGGUAAUUCACACUCUUUUUUUAACCUAUCUUCUUUUUUGUUGGUUUUACACAGAUACAUGGCAAGUUGUUUAACUUGAAAUUGUAAUAAUGUCCAGCAUAUUACUUGACCGACCAAGCACCAGUUCAUAACUGAAAAGCGCUCACCAGCUGUAGAUGAUCCGCGCGGAUCAAAGUCAUCAAAAUCAUCUUCAUCAGAAGCAGGCUUGGCACUUGGGAUUUUAGGCGGACCAAGACCUGGCUUAUUCAACGGCUUUGAGGAAUUGGAUGGUAAAGGAACUUCAUCACUAUCAUUUAGAGACGCACAAAAAUAGCAUUAGUAUCAUAAAGAAAAUUAACUUUAUUUCGUUUAAAGCACAAAAGAUGCAAAUAAAGUUACUCAGGCAUUGUUUCAACAUUUCAACAUCAUGGCAGGAAUAACUAAUAAUCCAGGUCUAAGAUCCACAUCAACAUUUUGAGACUUAUGCAGAGAAGAACCUUUUUCAUCUGACAUCAAUCAUACUGUCAUUCCACCAAGUUGGCAUGCUUAUCUCAGAGGUGGCAAAGUUUCCCACUUAUUUUUGGCUGACAUAAUUUCAUCUCAAAGAAAUUCUAAAAUGUAGUCAUGGACAUAAAAACGAUUUAUAGUUUACCCUAAUCUUUUCUUAAUUUCUCAAAAAGAUGUCUUUACCACACAGUAACAUGGUAGCCAUACAAAUCAAGGUUACCUGCCGCGGAGUGUCACUCCCUUCUUUAUCUUAGUACCUCCAGUUUCAUUAGAGAUACUUUCAUUUGACUUCUGACUGUCUUUACUUCUACGAGUUGACUUGGUUUCCUUAGCACCCUGCUCUACGGUUGUGUAAUUGUCUUUGAAGGAGUCAGCUUCUCUUGACCCACUUAAGCUUCCAUAACGGUCGCUAGAACUAUAGCUGCUGCUGCUGCUUCCAUAUGAGGCUGAACUUGAUUUAUAUGUGAUUCCGGUUGAGGAUAGUCCAAAGAACCUGAGUGCAGUGUAAUUACAACGUUAAAGAAUUGGUAUCACUUUUCAUUCAGAAAUACAACAAAACAGAAAGGAUUUUUAACAAAAAAGGAGACAGCCAUCAUAAAGAAUUAUAACAAAAGGGUCUUACUUGUCACGGGUUGCAGCAGCUUUCUCUCUGGCUGCUUUAAUUUUUUCCUUGUCAUUCACAAUAUUCAUAAUUGUUUCAACCUUCUUCCUUACAUUAAUUCCGACAUCUUUUCCAUUAGGUUCAACAUACUCAAAUUUUGAGAGUACCUUAACAUACACACACACAAAAAAAAAGAAGAAUGUUUAUCAGCACACAAAUCUCAUCUGAUAAGAUAAAAGAAAAUUUUUCAUAUAAGACAAAAGAAAGCAUACUGAAAUUUCAGAACCAUGCUCAAGAAUGUCAUCAACUGCACGCUCAGAUCCAUUUGCUAUCAAAUACUCAACGACAGUCAACGCCUGGGGAAAAAUGAAUUAUCAUAAAGAUGACAAAUGUUGAGCCUUGAAAGGUCUGAAGUUUGGACAGAACGAUUAGAAAAGCAGCAUAAAAAACAGCUCGUUUAUCACCUUGUAGACAUGACGCCAAUUUGGACCAGUAUCAGUUAGUCUUGUCCAGAGGACAUUCAUUACCAUUUGGCACUCAGUGCUGCAUUCAAAUAAAGUAAAGACAGUUAAAGGGCAUUAAUUAUAGCAUAUCAUUUGCCACAGACAAGCUUGUAACAUAUAGAGGUUAAGCUUACAAUUUUUUGGUGGCCUGAGCAAGCUCUGAUAAAGCAGAUCCAUGGGGACCCCAAGGCUCAUCAUUUGUCGCAUCGAGAACCUGAAUUCCAUAUUGUUGAUUAGUAUAAGGCGAGCAAUUAAAUAAUCACCAGAAAAAAAAAAAAGAGUGCAAAACUUCAUACACGUAUCAAGUGAUUCAAAUUUAUCAUCCAGUUGUUCGUAUUGUAACACUUAACCAUCCCCAAAUUCAUGUUCCAAUUUCCCAUUAAGAGUUGUUGCCUUGUAGCUAAAUUUUGCUAAAGUUGAGCACGAGACAGCCAAUGGCUCAUAGAAACAGUUUAGAUAAAGAUUUGAUUGCUUAACAUCAUGGAUCCUCCUUAAUUACAGUAAUUUCAUGACCCAAUAGAUUGUCAUGUACUCAAUUUUAACUAUAUUUAAAUGGCAACUCGUAAUGAGAUGACAGGAAAAUCAACCUCGGAGUGACCAAGUGUCAAUUAGAAACAAAGAAUAUUAAGUGAAAUCAGGAUUAUCUCAUAAGAGUCUAAAAUUAAAUCAAACAUAAACCUGUGAGGAUUAAGCAAAACUUUAUCUAGCAAUGACUCCAUUAAGGCAGCUGAAAAUGAGUAAUCAAUAUGCUACAACAUCAUACUUACAUGUUACACCUAGUUAGUAGUUACAUGUUACAACUAGUUUUACAAUAAAACACGGUUUACAUACAACUAGAAAAAUACAUAUGUUUUUAAUUGCACUCAAUUUCUGCUGGGCAUCGUGGGGAAUGUUCUUCCUACACAAAAAGCAUCUAGAUGAGAAAGCGGAUCUCACAGUUCAAAUGUACCGAUAGAUCAAUUUGAACCCCCCCUACCACAGCUAAUUAGCCAAAUCUGAAGCCACUAUUUCCACAACAUUUUAUGCCAUAAUAAACAAUGUUUUUUCGUUUCUCGCAUCGAAUCAAAUUAAAUGAUCAAACUCAUGAAUCGAAAGUUCUCAGCAAAUUUGCUCUUCAUAGCCACCAUGAUGGGAUCUGAUGCUCCAGAUCUUCCAAAAACAGAUUAAAAAUGAGAAAUAUGAACAACAAUAACAAUAAUAACAACACAACACAAAAAGUAAGAUCUAGUUAUGAAAAAGUAAGAACACUAACCUUCUGUUCGAUCUCCGGGACCUUGAGCACUCUAAGAUUGACCUCUCUCUUUCUGAAAACAAAAACGAUCACGGAUCUCAUAGAUCUGAGUCGAUCGAGAGCGAAAUGUAGUCACAUCGAAAUCAAAAUACUCACAUAUCACGAACAGCUUCGUUGAAAACCUUCAUGAAAUCCAUUGAUGGAGCGAUCGGGGAUGAGAUCUCGCCCCUCGGCUCUUCGAAUCGGAAGCGACGCGGAUGCGAACUACUACUCCCCUAGAGAUCGGAAUAUCCCGUAGAAUUUGGGAACGAGAGAGGAUAACUAGGGUUAGAUCCGAAGAAGCUCACACUGUAAUCGUCGCAACAGAGAUGAAUCAAUAGUGAUGAUGAUUGGAGAUUAAACUCUGGAAGGCUACGAGACUCUGUCGGGGGUGGUGAGAUCAGGUCGUUUCUCUUCGGGGUUAAAAAAAUAAAUAAAUAAAGCAUGGAAGACCCUGAACUAUAUGCAAUUUUGAAAUGGGGCCUUUGUUUUUUUUUUCGUUUGUCCCUUUUUUUUUUCUUUUUUUUUUUCUCAAUUAUCCCUUUUUCUUAUUUGAAUUAUUUCACUCUCUGCAUUUUAAACUUGACUGAAUUAAAUAUGAAUCUGUUGAAGUUUAAAGUUGAAUUCAGAUUGAUUAGAAUUGGCUUUGAUACAAGUUGAGUUCAUUAGUACUAGUUGUUUUAUAACAAACUUUAUGUCAUUUCUUUCCCAUUGAAGGCAAUCAAAACAAAAAAGACAAAUAAAAGCAAAAAAAAAUCAUAGAAAAAUUACUAAUUCUACUCCUCACUAAAAAUCAAGUCCUUAAGAGCUGUAAAAUUCAGUCCAUUUUCUGCUCACGUUCCAGAUUCGUCUAAUAAUCAAAAAGGGUCAGAUGAUUGGUUCCUAUAAAUUAUGUCAUUUUUUUCCAUUAGAUCAUUCAUUUGCGACCCUAAUUAGAUCCUUUAUUGUUGCCCCUUAGCGGUGAUCCCCAUCAGAAGUUUCCAGACACCUGUGACCUCUAUCUCAUGCCCUGAGAUAUGCCUAUCUUGUAAGAUGUUGAACAUUAAAAAUCUACUGAAUAUUCAUCAGACAAGCAUAUGAUCAACAGUCUUUACAUCGUUGCCGCACAUCACACACUGUUGAUUUCCGAACCAACCUCUUUUGUCAUUUAUGUCAUUUUUGGAUACUAAUAUUAGUUUGUUUAGAGUGGGUUUGAUUAUGGGGCUAUAUAGGUAAUGAUUUCAACAACAACACCAGCAACAGCAGCCACAAAAAAAAAAGGGCCAGGCAGGAGCUGGAUUUGACACGGCCCGGCCCGGCCCGAAAUCCUGGCUAAUACCAGGCUCACGAUAGAAGUUGGGCUUUUUUGGGCCUAAACCGUCUCGUUUAUUUUACAAUGUCCAAAGAUUAUACUGCCUCUCACAAUGCAGUUUACAUGACCAGUUUUUUUGGCCCUUCUUUAUGAAACUAAAAUUAGAAUUGUUUUCGAUCCGAACUGAAAUAUUCUUUUUUCAUAAUUAUCAACUCAAUCAAAACUAAACUGGUUUGAAGAAAAAAAAAACGAAUCAUCCAGUUCGAUUUCAAAUUGGGUUAGUACAGUUUUUGUUUUUGUUUUUGUUUUUGUUUUUUUGUUUUUUUGAGGUUAGAUGAAUUAGAUAAACCUUGUCUCAUUAUAUUAUUCCCAAAAAAUGAUUUAAGUUUUACCCACCCAGUUCUCGCAAUCCAGACCCUUUCAAACUGACCUCAAAUGUCAUAUCACUAGUACUGAUAUUGCCGUAUUUAAUAUGCCAUUUCAAAUUUCUGUAAGAUAUUAUUAUAUGAAAACUAUGCUUAACUGAAAAAUCGCAUGGAUUUGCCUCUAGUAUGUUGUAUUUGUGCUAAACCCGGAUGUGAGCGCAUAGUUUCUUUCCUUAAUCCAGUUAGGAGUGUAAAUUAAAUUUCAUAAUUUCAUCUCUCGCAUUUGUUUAAGGAGAAAGUUUCUUAUGUGACAGUCACACCAUAUUAUUUAUAAAAAAUCAAUCAUAUCUCUUCUUUUAAAAUAAAAAUACAAAAAUUUUUAAAAAUCACGAUGAAAUGGAUAAAUUUCAUAAAUACAUUGUGAUUGACUAAAAACAUUAAUUAUAUCGGUAAAUGAUAGAACAUGUUUUUUUUUUUGUAUAUGGCUGUUCCUUUCUUAAUUUAACCGUACCAAUUUUUAAAUGAUAGUACAUGCUUUCUUGAAUAUAGGUUUAGUUCCGGUCGAGUACGAAAGAAGAAUUUUGAUGGAUUUUUGGGAUACCUCAGCCGCAUUUCAUGAUGGGCUAUAACGCGUCUAAUCCUUGUUCCAUCAUUGACUUAGGAGUCUUUAAUGCAUCACCCAUCCACUUGGCUACUUGCAUGUAUGAUAUAUGAAUUAUCUUAUUCUUGUGUGCCUAAUCAUUUGAGCUUUAGCUAUACUAGCUAUCACUGUUUUUUUUUAAAAAAAAAUUCUAUGUAGAUCCUUAAUUACUUAGUAAGGCUGUAGCUUAUACUGCAUCCGCCGUGUGAUUCUAAAAUAAAAAGUGAUUAAUCAAGAGUACUUUAGUUAGGUCCCAACCCUCUAAGUUUUUUAUAAUGUAUUUCAACUAGAUGCAGAUUUUGUGCAUUGAUAGAUUUUGUGCAUCGAUAGUGUGCAGAAAAUUUUGCACACUGAUGAUAUUAUCGUCCAUCUAAAAGAUAAAGCUAAAGCAGGACUUACAUUUGAGAUCAAUCUUACAUAUUUGAUAAACAACGAUAUUGCGCACUUACAAGAGUUUUCUAUAUAUCAAUCUUUGCAAUAAUCUGAAUCAACCAGACUAAACCUUCACAUGAUAGUAAUUAAUUAGUAUUUCAGCUUUUCAGACUCGGAUUAUAUGGUGCAUCUACAGCUAGCGUCACUCCAAUCCUAAUCUAGUCCCGAUAUCUCUUGUUUUGAAAAACAUAUAAAUCAGAAGUUGUGCGCCUAACUUUGGCCCCAUUAUUCCUGAAAUUUAGUGUAGACUUGUAGCCAGUUGUUUCAAUCUUUUCGCCUUAAUUCAAGUUUGUUCCUAUGUACCAAUUGUACUCUAUAUCAAACAUCCUUAACUCUUCACUAGAAACAGAUUAGAUUGUAAAAUACUUCUAAGUAAGUCGAAGUGUACUAACUAUAUGUAAUCCUUUGGAUCUUAUACGAUUUACAUAUAGUAUAUAUAAGUUUCAAAUUAAUUUAAUCCGUGGGAGUGUUGAUUGUCCUUUAUAAUUAAGGACAAAAAAGUAUGUCCCUUCCAUCCCGAAUUCUUAAUCUUCUACUCUUCCCUGGCAUUCUCUAUCUCAUAGUUUGAACCAAUCAUGUAAGUUGGUUGAUACAUGGACAAUCUUGCACAAUAUUAGUGAGCAUUUAUUUAUAUAUAUUUUAUUUUUAGACGUGAUGAUUAAAAGAAACGUCGAAUUUACAAAUCUCACUUAUUCACUGUAUUUCAUUUUAUGCGCUAAUAGUUUUCGUAGCAUGAUCACUUAGUAACGACACUGAUUAACAGCUAAGAUAGUUUUCUUUUUCUAUAGUAAUUAGCGGGUCAACAAGCGAUCUUGUGGAAUUAAAAAGUCAUAGAACCUCGAUAAGAUGUACCAAAAGUCAGAGUCAACUCUUACUCCCCAUGUGAUGAUAUCUCCCUACACCCGUUGACCGAAUUAUUUAACUCAGAGACCGAGCUGGCACUAUUCCACCUCCUAAGAAGCGCCUCUCCCCAACACAACAGUAAACACCGGCCCCUGGAAGAUUAUCCACGUGUCGAUCUCCAAUUGGCCAGCAUGGCGAAAUGCCGUUCGCGGGAGUACGAUUGGUUGGUGACGCCGACGUGGCAUCCUCGGUGCAUGGUGAUGGAGGUGAUGACGUAAGCGGGAAUGAGAGGUGGAUUAGUGAAGCCGCAUAUAUAAUUUGCGAUGUAGCGUGAGUAUUAUAUAUUAUCAUGAGUUGUCAUCGUAGCUAUUCUCAGAGUGAGGAGAACGUUAAGAGGGAUUGAAUGUUUAUAUUAACUUGUCUGAUUGAAGGAACACUUUGUCACUUCGACACCGAUGGCGGUGUUCUUGUGGUGUUUUGUUUUCCUGAGCUUUUCGAGCUUCACAGUUCGCGUUCGAGGCCAGUUUGAUUCUCUAGGUAUUUGGCUUUAUGUAUACAAUGCUCAGAUUCUUACUCUCUCGUUUUCAUUUUAAAGUUUUCAUAUGCAUUUUUUAAGUUAACUAGAUCAUAAUAAUGUGGUGUAUUAGAUACAUUUCUGUUUUUGCACAAAUUGCUAUACUUUAUUGUGGUUGUCGAAGUAAGUUAAGUGAGCUUAAUCGCUGAUUGAUCAAGAGUUUCGGAGGUCAUUACUGCAUUUUUUAGGAUAUUUGGCUAGUUGAGUCCAUAGUGAGUUUUCUUGUGCUUUUUUGAUAGUAAUACACAUAUUCUAAUACGAAAAAUAUGAGUCUAUCUAAUUAGACAUGGAUGGUAGUUUUAUUUUUUUAUUUGUAUUUUUAUUUUUUUUAGAAACAAGCAUGGAAUAAUUGCUUACAACGAAAAACUAUAUUUUUAUGUUAAACUUGAAGCAGCUAGCGAAGAUGUUGCUGGAUUUAGGGGUCUUAAACUCAAACACUCUCAUUUUGAAGAAAUAUAUGCAAAAAUCUCGUAACAACUUAUCAGGGCUUAUAUCUUUUUAACAAUUUAUGCAAUGAGAAGUGCAAAUGCAGAGGAUUUAAAAAGCUUGCAGUUGCAUGUGGCUUAAUGCGUAAUUUAACUUAACCAUUUUUAAAUUUUAAAAAACCUCACAAAGUGUUGAUUUGCAGGUUUCAUCAGUAUCGAUUGCGGUGUUCCCGAAAACUCUAGCUAUGCAGACUCCACCACCACAAUACCAUAUACCUCCGACUUCGGAUUCACUGACACUGGAGUGAACCACAACAUAUCCGCAGAAUACCUUACGCCCGGGCUCUCCCGACGUUAUUGGAACUUACGAAGUUACCCGACAGGAACCCGAAAUUGCUACACCUUGAGAUCACUAGUAGUCGGAUUGAAGUAUCUAAUCAGGGCAGGGUUCAUGUACGGGAACUACGAUGGGCUGAAUAAGCUCCCGAUAUUCGACCUCUAUCUCGGGGUUAAUUUUUGGAAAACAGUGAAUAUCUCCGAUCCGGGUUCGGGGACGUUGAUUGAAGUGAUCACGGUCGCGCCGGACGAGUUUAUGCAGGUGUGUUUGGUGAAUACCGGGGGUGGGAUUCCUUUUAUAUCCGUGCUCGAUCUCAGGCCUCUUAAGAACAUUCUUUAUCCGGCCGUUAAUGCUACACAAUCUCUGGUUUUGUUCCGGCGACUCAACGUGGGGCCAACGAAUGAUGUGGCGUUCAGGUUGGUAGGGCAUUUCAUGCUUUUACAUGAACUGAAGCUUGCUUUAAUUAAUUUGCAAGCAGUUAUGAAAUUAGAAAUUGUGAGUUUUGAUUUCUGAAAAACUCCUUCAAACUUAUUAGAACUUUAAAUCGUAAUUGAGUAAGCUAGAUUGCAUUCUCACAUGAACUAAAACUUGCAAAAUUUGAAUUCGGCAUGCUGAAUUGGUGGAAAAAUGAAAAAAAAUCCUUAAACUUUUCACUUUGGAUCAUUUUCUCAUGUAUUUUAACUGAAAUUGUUUUUAUUUGAGUGAAAACAUAUAUAUACUUUUCAAGGAGUAGAGGCUAGUUUACCCACUAUGGUCUAGCACGGGCAAGCUUAUUUUUGCGUGUUUGGUCACAUGUUUGGCGCGUUAAUUUGUUCGGAUACUGUAGUUGUGACUUGUGAGUGUGAUUUCGCGUCCAUCUAUAAGAAUUUGAGAAUCCACAAACGAGCAGUGCAAGCAAAUUUGCUCUGGUCUGCUCAAUCCAAUCUGUUUGAUGUGGUCAGUUUGGACUAGACUUGCACCUGAAACGAAUUUACAAAAUUUUCGAGCUAAAUCACAGAUCAAGUAAAGUUACAAAUAUCUGCUUAUAUUAAAAAAAAAGAAUAAAUGCGAACUGGGAGCAGGUACCCGGACGACGCGCACGACCGGAUAUGGAUCCCGUGGAGCAACGCGCCGUUCUGGACGGAGCUGUCGACGAACUCGACGGUGCAGAACAUCGCGGACGACCACUUCGAGGCGCCCUCGGCCGUGCUGCAGACGGCCGCCGUGCCCGUCAACUCCUCCGCCCUGGAGCUCUACUGGGACUCCGCCGACGCCGGCGCCACCUCCCCCAACGCCGCCGCCGCCGCCCCCCCGCAGUUCUUCGCCGUCCUGCACUUCUCCGAGCUGCAGCUCCUGCCCGCCAACGCCGCCCGGCAGUUCAACAUCUUCCUCAACGGCAAGCUCUGGUACGGCCUGCCCUUCACCCCCGAGUACCUCUACUCCGACGCCGUCUACGGCACCAACCCCACCGCCGGCUACCGCCGGUACAACGUCUCCAUCAACGCCACCGCCAAUUCCACCCUCCCCCCGCUCCUCAACGCCCUCGAGGUCUUCUACGCCAUGCGCGUCGCCGACCUCGCCACCGACGCCGCCGACGGUAAUGCAGUAUACUCAAUUUAUCAACUAUGAAAAUACUGUUAUCUCACCAGUGCAGCGAAAGCAAAAGUAAGCAGAAGCGCAAAGAAGUUACUGAAAAUAUACUAAUAUGCAUUCCUUUUGGGUCGUAGACUUAGCAUUUCUCUCUUUCUAAUAACACUACUCGGACAACACUGUAUCGUACAGUUUAAAGCCAAAUAGGCCCUUAGCGAAUUGUCGAAGUUUGGAAAGAACAACUGAUGUAGGGUUGAUUAGAUAAUAUAUAUACAUUCUAGUAAGGUAGAGAGGGAAACAAGAGCUGGUAGGACUUGGGGAAGAAAGCAUUUGAGUAGAAUCUAAAACAUAAUUUUUUUUUUUUUUUCCAUAAUCUUUCAUCAGUUGCUGCUAUCACGGCGGUCAAGCAAAUGUAUCAAGUUAAGAGAAACUGGAUGGGCGAUCCGUGUGCUCCAAAAUCUUUUGCAUGGGAUGGGUUGAAUUGUAGUUACGCCAUCUCCAGUCCUCCACGGAUAACAACUCUGUAAGUUUCCUCAAUAGAAAAUCGCAAAUUAUCUGAUAAAACCAUGUUUUCAUAAAAUUGACAAUACAACACUGUUCUUGACACCCUUAACUGAACUUCUCUUUUUUUCUUUGUUUCUUGGAAGUAAUCUAGAAUCCAGCGGAUUGAAUGGAGAAAUAGCAACUUCUUUGGCCAGUCUUAAAGCACUUCAGUACCUGUAAGUUUUGCUAUCUUUGUUACUCCAAUUAUUUCUUACUGCAAAAAAAAUUUGUCGCAGAACAAUUUGACAUGAACUUGUAGAGUCUUUAUUAUUAGUUGAUUGACAAUUCCCGUUAUUACAGGGAUUUGUCGCACAACAAUUUGACAGGGUCCAUACCUGAUGCUUUAUCGGAGUUACCGUCACUUGUAUUCCUGUAAGCAUUCUUGUUUUUUUUUGGUGAUUUAGAAAGCCUGUAACAUAUGUUUGUAGAUUUAAUUUUUCCUGGCUUCUUGCAGAGAUUUGACAUAUAACCAACUAAACGGAUCAAUUCCCGCAGGCCUACUUAAAAAAUCACAAGAUGGGUCACUUACGUUAAGGUUUGAAUUUUCUUUAGUUUUACUGCUCCUUUUAAAUUGCGUUUCGUCAAACUGUGUUUCUUUUUUCUAUCUAUCGAAGAUGUUUCCUUUUUUUUAUAGAUUUCUCGCUCUUCUCCUUCAUCUUUUCAAACUUAGACUAACUGCGCUCGACUAACUCUAUGGUCUUUUCAAUGCUAGAGUUGGAAAUAAUUUAAAUCUUUGUAACAACGGUGAUUCAUGUGUGCUCACAAAAUCAAAGAAGAGUACACCGACGGCUGUUAUCGUGAUUGUUCCAAUAGUCGUGGUAGUGCUACUGGUGGCAGUGAUACUAGUAAUGUGCAGAAUAAGGAAACAAAGAGGUAACUUUUAUUGAUGUAAAAUCCUUUCUUGUGCAUUCUCCUAAACAUUGGUAUUUGAGUGAUCUUAGAAACUGUAGUACAUCCAUUAUUGAUCAUCUUACGUGUUGAUAUGCUUUUCUCGAAGGCUUAGCAACAGGCACCUCUGUGAAGCCGCAGAAUGAAGAAAAUUACUCCAGAAGGGAAAACAAUAAUGACGACCACUCGUUGCAAUUUGAGAACAGGCAGUUCAUGUACAAGGAGUUAGAGAUAAUAACGAAUUACUUUGAGCGAGAAAUAGGCAGAGGAGGAUUCGGGAAGGUCUAUGAUGGCUUCUUGGAGAAUGGUACUCAAGUUGCGGUGAAGAUGCGCUCUCAGUCAUCUCAUCAGGGAGUAAAAGAAUUUCUUUGUGAGGUAAUCAAUUUCAAUCAACUUAGCUCAGGUUUUUGGUUCAAAAAAGGAUCAAACUGAACUGAAUAUGUCAUGAAACCAAAACAAUGGCAAACGAAACCUAAUUGAACCAAGAUGAAAAAUAUUGGUAUGGUUACACAGGUUGGAGUUCAGCUGUCUUAUCGGGCCUUGGUUUAGGUUUACUAUGGUUUUCCUCAUCGAUUUCCUAUCUAAUGACUGCGAUGUUUAUAAUCUGCAACCAUUUAGGUUGCUUCUACAUCUUAUUAUUGUUAAUUUAUUCCAGAAAAGUUAUAUUUUGGUUUAGUAUGGAGCAUAUUAACCGUCAUCUCUUCUGCUCUGCGUAACUUAGUUGAAGAAUUUUGAGAUUUCUUUAUUUAUUGUGUUGGCGCUCUUUAUUUAUUGUGUUGGCGCAAGAUUACUGUUGGUAUACACUCUCCUCAAACUCAGAUGCUUCUUAAUACACACCUGACAGCAUUCUGAAUUCUAUUACAGGCCCAGCACUUAACAAGGGUUCAUCACAAGAACCUGGUUUCGCUGAUUGGCUACUGUAAGGAUGGAGACUACCUGGGACUUGUUUAUGAGUACAUGGCUGAAGGGACCCUCCAAGAACAUCUGAGAGGUUUGUGAAUUUUAAAUUUGUUAAAUAUUUUGUGGUUGCGAUAAAGCUGAUUCAACGAGCUAUUGUUGAUCAUCUUUGACAGGUAGAACUUCUGGAGCUAGACCUUUGACAUGGGGACAGCGGCUCCGAAUUGCACUUGAAUCUGCUCAAGGUUUUGUAGUAACAUAUAGUCUUUCUUUUAUUUUGAAGAGUAGAUAAAAAAUGUAUGGACAACUAUAGGGCGUUUCCUGGCAGUUGAAAAGUGAGCAUAGCAGUUGAAUAUAGUAGAAUAGCCGUUAAGUUUAAUGGAGUCUCCAAUUCACCUGGCAGACAUAUAUCAAAGAUGAGUGAAAGUUGAACUGUUGAAGGGGUGUCAAUAAAUAAAUUUUUUUAAAAAAGGUUAUGGUGGCUAUUUCAAAACGGCCUAUUAUUAAGUUGACGGGUCCUCCAUACAUUUUUACCUAAGUUUCGUGUCACAGUCUUGUCUCAUUAUUUACAUAUAUUGGUCUGCAGGGCUGGAGUAUUUGCACAAGGGAUGCAAGCCUCCACUAAUUCACAGAGAUGUCAAGACCAAUAACAUACUCUUAACCGCAAAUCUAGAGGCUAAGAUAGCUGAUUUUGGGCUGUCCCGGGCAUUCAACAAUGAUACAAGCACAUCAGAAUCCACGCCCACAGCAGUGGUCGGCACCCCAGGAUACAUAGAUCCUGAGUAUGUCCCUUACAUCCCUCAUUUGUUCUUUUUCCUGCUUUUACUUAGAUUUGUAGCUUUUUUUUUUUUUUUUUUCUGAAGAAAUACUUAGAUUGGUAGCAUGUAUGUCAAAUUCUGGAUUGAUUACAAAUGUAACCUCCGUAGUUUGACUUGAUUUCAAUUUUUGUCCUCCGAUUCUAAAUUGUAAACAGAAGCACUUCAGUCACUGAAAUUUGUUGUGUGUUAAAAUUGGGAAGUCUAGGAUGAAGCUGAAAUAGGAAUCAAACAUGAAGGACUAAAUUUUCAAACUGAAACUCUGAGGACAACAUCGAUAUCAAGUUAAAAUUUUGGGGCUUAGUUGUUAUAACUGUAAAUCCAAGGACGAAAUUGAAAUCUGGUUCAACAUCAAGGACUAGAUAGUGCGGCUACUGUAUUCAACUUUUCUGUAAGAGUUUUCUAUUAUCCACAUUUUACUUCUGUAUGAAGAUCAAAAGCAUCCUAUUAUAUGUAUCUUCAGGUAUCAUAACACAUUCCAUCCAAGUGAGAAGACCGAUGUAUACAGCUUCGGCGUGGUUCUCCUGGAGGUCAUAACGGGCCAAUCCCCCAUUCUGCCCGGAUCCGAUGGUGUCCACAUAGUCCAAUGGGUUCGCCAAAGGCUUGCUAGAGGGAACAUAGAGGGUGUUGUAGAUUCAAGAAUGCGAGGAGAAUAUGAUAUAAACUCGGUCUGGAAGGUUGCAGACGUGGCAUUGAAGUGCACCGCGCAAUCCUCGAGCCAGAGGCCGCUGAUGCCGGAAGUCGUGAUGCAGCUAAAAGAAAGCUUGGAAUUGGAAGAAGCUAGCGGCAGGAGCCAUAACUUCUACUCAGGAAGCAUUAAUCCAUAUUCGAGGAGCGAAAACAUCUAUACAGAAGUUAGCGAUGUUAGCCAGAACAGUGCUUUCGAAGUGGAAAAUGUGGUGGAAGUAUCAGCAAGUGGUCCGGCGGCACGAUGAGAUCAAUUCACCCUUUUUGUCCUUCCCACUAUUCUUCCUUCUGUGUGUAGUUUUUCGUAAGUAAGGUAUUCAAAAACGAGAAUAACAUGUUUGAACUUGAUUUCCUGUUGAGCAUGCUUAGAGUAUAGGUAUGGUAUGUUAUUUUCCGAAUUGUAAACAUGUCCUGUUUCCUGUAUACUCAUGAUCCCGAGCUAUCAUGUUUUAAGUGGUCUUUUUCUUUUUACAACUUAAUCUUUAACUUACCUUGCUGCAUAGGGUCAUUCUCUAAUGUAUCUCUCCUCAGAUAAGUGUAUUUAUGUUACUAAAUCACACACUAACUGUGGUUUAUGUAAAACUAAAAACAAUUUGAUCGUCAAUAAUUUAAAUCUCGAUUAUAAACUCUAAAUCGACUUGCAACUAAUGUCAAAUGACAAUUUAAACGUAGUCCCUGAGUUUUCGAAUUAUGCCCUUAGCAUAUUGUCCGUUAAGUAAAAUAGGCAUCACUAAUCUUAAAUUCUUACCAUUCAAAUUAAAAAUUGAGAUAACAAGUGAAGUGGUCUUCUUCAAUUACCUCACCUCGCUUGGAACUUGUCGAUUAGAUUAUGUAAUACAAAUUCGGAAAAGAUGUGACAAAUAAUGCGACCCCAAUCCAACCCAAACGGCAAAGCAAGCUUUUCCCUGACAUUUUUUUUAAAAAAAAAGGAAAAAUCGGUUUCAAAUCGCGUGCACGAACUAAACUGCAUUCGCUAACCAAAGCCCAAAGGGAUAAGAUGAACAGGUCGGAGACUCGGAAACUAAUGGGAAACUUCAAUUUUCUAUACAAGCAGGGUUGACCCUGACCCCGGUGUGGGUUGACCAUGACCCUAGUCUCCGCACCGCGUUGCGUUUUUGGUUAAGUUCGUAACCAGUCAGAUAAACCUCAAUUACCCACUCCGUGGUGUUUACGUUAUAAUUUUAUUUUUUUAAAAUUUUACUAUAAGAAUUAAUUAUCAUAACAAAAUAUUAUAUUUUAUAUUUCAUUAUUUGUAAAACAUAUUCUAAAUUGUAGGAUAAACAACUGUAAAUAUAUAUAAGCUAAAUAACAAAAGAGUGAAUGCUCAAAAUUUUGUCCAAAAGGUGAGUGGGUGUUAGUAUAACUUUCACCUCUUCUUGUAACUUAACACAAACGCCAAGUGCUUUCACACAGAAAUUUUUUUUUUUUUAAAAAAAAGGAAAAAAGAAAAAGAAAAGCUGGGAGACUUAGUACUGAACACGGCAUUGGCCUUAACAUCAUCUCUCUAUCUCCAAGUCUCCUCCUAAUAAUUGUAGAGAGCCCAAGGGAUAUAAGUUGUGGUGAUUCUAUCUCUUAACACAUUCUGGGAUCACCUCUUUCCUUUUUUAUCUUUUCCCCCUAAAAAAGAAUACUUUGGUUAUUCUACAGAGAUUGUUGGGGCACUAAUAAUGUGGAGAAUUUUUCGAAGGCGUGGAGGUAUUUUUUUUUCCUUUUUUUUUUUUUGGCUCAUUGAUCAACUAUUGAAUAUGCUAGCUAUUGUUUUUUAGCCUCAAACAUAUACUACUACUACAUGUAUUUUAGGCGUUUGUGGCCAACAAGGAGAUAAUGAAGGCCUUUUGGUGCAAACUAAGGUUCGGCAGUUCACUUACUCACAGUUGAAAAUUAUGACCGGCAAAUUCAAACAUGUAAUUGGUGGAGGAGGAUUUGGGUCUGUGUAUUGUGGUCGGUUAGAAGAUCGUAGUCGGGUCGCGGUGAAAAUGCGGUCGCAACGAUCUUCGCAAGGGCUCAAGCACUUUCUUGCCGAGGUAUCCUGUUUGGAUCUUCCACAAGUUGCAUACAAACUGUUUACAACGCCGUUUUCUAGCAAUUUAAGCUUUUAAACAAGGCGAAAAUAUGCAAAACUCGCAUGAACUAUGAACUGCGCCAUUUAUUUUUACUGGUUUAGUUAGUGUACUUUCUAUAAUUCUCGCAACUAUAAAUUUAUUGAAGUAAGAAACUAGCUUAAAUUUCGAAGUCAGAGUGUUGUUGCCUGAUUCAAAUCACAUCAAUUAAAAUGUUGCCUGAUUCAUUUCCUAAAUGAAUGAAGCGGUAGCACGCUAUCUUUUCUCAAAAAAAAAAAGAAAAGAAAAGAAAAAAAGUUGGUUUAGUAAAAUUUAGAUUUUGAAAGGUCGGAUAGUAGAUUUAAAAUGAUCCGUAGCUCAAGGAAGCUCAGUUGCUCAUAUGGUAUCAGAUCAGAAGGCUUUCGUGUUGUGCGAGUUGUGAAUAUUACAAGUCUUGUGAAUGUUACAAUUAGAGCCAAAUUCCGACAGUGUAUCUAUAUUUUGGUCCUGUGUGGAUCUUUCUAAAAUGCUGCACAUCGUAGGAUUGAAAGAGUACUCUUGUAAUGACUAAUGUAGCUUUUAGCAGUCCUUGGCGAUGACACUCCACUGAAACAUUGUGCUGCACUGUUAUGGAUGCAUGUUGCGAUGCAGGUUAACAUUUUAUCGAAAGUGUAUCAUAGGAACCUCGUGUCGCUAGUCGGUUAUUGCAUGGAUAGAGAUUGCCUUGCGCUCGUCUAUGAGUACAUGGCCCAAGGAAGCCUUCAAGAUCGUCUAAGAGGUCGGUGACUCAGUAAUAGUGCAUUAGUUGAUCAACUACAUCUACUUCACUGUCAUGUAGAUGUAUGCUAUUUGAAUUGCUCCUACUUAUACUCGUUCAUAUCGAUGUUUCUUUUGGAAAGCAAUUCUUUACUUGUUUUUUUUUUUUGUUUAUCCCCCUUACUCUUACAGGUGAAAGGGGCAUUGUCAACGUAUUGACUUGGAGAGUGCGGCUUCAAAUUGCACUUGAAGUUGCAAAAGGUUGGUCGACCGUGUAAUUUAAUCCACCUGCAUAUCUAUGUAUCUGUUUCUUUUUAUUGGCUUAUCUUUCCCUGAGAUUUGACAUGAUGAAGGACUGGAAUAUCUGCAUGCUGGAUGCAAGCUUCCGAUAGUCCACAGAGGGGUCACAAGCAGCAACAUUCUUCUAGAUGAAAAUCUAGAGGCUAAGUUAUCUGAUUUUGGCCUGGCCAGAGAGUUCGCAGCUAGUUCAGAGAUGCAAUCGUCGGUGACGGGCGUUGCUGGUACCAUAGGCUACCUUGAUCCGGAGUACAUCUCUCUUUCUCUUUUUUCUCCUUUUAGUUAAUUUCAUGUUAUGUUUUAUUAUCUUUGGUUCCUUAAUCGCAAUUGGUAAAUUGGCAAAACCCUGGAGGGUUCUUCCUGUAAAAGGAAGAGUAGUUGUUAACUAGAAAAGCAAAAAUAUGUCAAACUUUAUUAAGUAUAUUAUGUAAACAUUUCGCGUGUUUCAGCCAACCACUUCACUCGAAUUUCCUUCUGUUUUUUAGUCAGAUUAAAUGCCAAACGAUUCUAGCGCUCCUAAACUCAUCAAGGCAUUGAAAAGAAGGGGGGGGGUUUAAUGGUAGUUACUAAACAUUGGCCUAAAGAGAGCUGCUGCUUGAAAAUAAGAGGAAUGAUGAUCAUUAACCACUGUUAGAGAUAAGAGUCCUGCUGGAGCUCAAUUCCUGCAGCCGACUAACGUUGUUCUCUUCCUAUAACGUUUUAGGUACAUGUUUACUGGCGUAUUUAGUGAUAAGAGUGAUGUGUAUAGCUUUGGCGUGGUUCUAUUGGAGAUAAUUACGAGUCAACGCCCAUAUACACCAGGAGAAGAUGCUCCGGGAGGUCACAUAGUUCGGCUAGUGUCCGAGAUGCUCGCUAGGGGCGGUUUUCAUGAUGUUGUUGAUGCCAGGCUGCAAGGGAAUUAUAACAUUGAGUCUGUUUCUAAGGUCAUAGAUCUUGCGAUGCGGUGCACAGAAGAAGCCUCGUCUCGACGACCAACGAUGGAACAAGUGGUGGCGCAGCUGAAGGAGAGCUUGGAACUGGAGAUAUUACCUGGAGAGGGGAGCGACUACCUGUUCAGUGAAGACAACUACGCCAGUCAAAAUAGUGACUUUGAACAAACACCAAUUAUUGCGAGAUAAAGAGUUCUCUUCUCUCCACAAUCUAAAGUGCGGCUUGAGCAAUAUACAUCCAAAUAUCCAGAUUGAGGUUGGAACAUAACAGGGCAUAUAUGUAGCCUUCAAUGUACUGUGUAAUAUGAGAUCUCCAUAUCUACAUAUGUAGUAAGUAUAUCCUCCCCUUCUUGUAUUACUUCUUGGGUGUCGGUGUAUUCUUGUCAGACAACUGCGACAGCAUAGAGUUCAGUUUAUAUAUGUUUAUUCAUUCUGUAUGUCUUUAUUUGUGCGUGUAUGUAUAUGUGCAUCAGUGUUGGACCUGCAGAUCUAGAAGUUGAGCUGUUAGAUUCUACGUGCCUGAUCAUUUGUAGCUUUGCUAAUCUAUGGAGCUGAUACAUACAACUGUUGAAUCAAUAUAUUCGAGUCUUUUCCGUGUGACACUUUCAAUUCAAAGUCGUCUCUCUUCUGUGUUAAGAUUAGCAUUUUUUUUUUUAUUGUAAAUUAUUAUUGUGAUUCUAUGAAGUGCACGGAAUAGCAACUGUAGCAGUUGGUUUCUGUAUUCUCUUUAAGCUGUUUUCUCUAUGUUCAUUACAAUUUUGGACAGGUCAGUAACACAUUUUGUUCUAUUAAAGCCCAAGGCUUAAAGUUGAAUAUUUUGCUGCUUGUUUCACGUUGUGCUCUCACAUUCACCGGCGGACUCAACCCUCUUGGCGAAUCCACACUGCUGAAUUCGCCAGUCUUAUUCACAUAACUAUGUAACAAGGUGAUCAUGCUACAAAAUAUGUUGAAGAGAAUAAUUCUUUACCAUUCACAAGUCUUUUUUUUUUUUGUUGAGAAAUUGAAAGCAUGGUACCGCUUCAUCAUUUAGAUAGUGAACUGGCUAGAAAGUGAGGCAAUUAGGCCUCUAGAAAAGAUAGAAAAAGGAAGAAAGAGAGGCUUACAAAUCCUUCAGAAAGAGAAAAGAGUAGAAGAUAGUUACAAUAUUAAAUACCCGGAGGACCCCCGGGUUAUGUUGCACAGUAUUUAUCCGAGAGGUCUCUAGAAGUAUGGAUUUCUGCUAACAUCUGUCUCUGCGAGAGUUUCUCUUCUGAAAACUUUGCCUAUUUUGAUCGAGCCAGAUAACCCAUCAGGUAAUGGCGAUUGUCACCAGCUCCCCCAGCCUUAACGUACCUCUCUUAAGUCGACUCAUCUUCCAAAGUGUAAAUGUUGAAUCACAAGUGUGAAUUUCCUUCCUAUUAGGCAUUAGACACUCCAGCAAAAGUCUGGUAACUUCACAAUUAGCAAAUAGAUGGUCAAUUUCACCCUUGUGAAAGCAAAGUGCACAUUCUUGCUCUCCAAGCCAAUCCCUUUUUCGUAAAGUGUCAACCGUAAGCAUCUUUUGUUUUAAAAAUAACCGAGCAAAAUUUUUGACUUUCAGUUGGGUGCAGAUUUUUCAUAACGGUGCAAAGCUCCUAACCUUGACUCCAUUAUGUAGGAAAUUAUAAAGCGAUUUGAUGAAAAACUUUUUAGAAUGGGCGCAUCUCCAUUUGACUUCAUCCCUUCUGUUAUUCAAUGUUAUGUUAGAGAGCGUCUCUUUUAGUUUCAGUAUCAACUCUCUAUCAAAUGGCGCUAUUGGGGUGAAAUCAGCCAGUAUCACGUCCUACCUCCACCUAUUCCCUUCGAAGCAGUCACUCACCCAGCAAUUUUGCCAUACUGCGUUCCUAAAGAUGUGUGGAUAUAAGGAGCACAUUGGAGCCUCUCCAAACCAAAGAUCCUUCCAAAAGCUCAGACUUCUACCAUCCUCAACUAAAUAGGUAAUCCCGCAUUUGCAGGUAUCUUUAGUUCCUAAAAUGCUUCUCCAUCACUGUGAAUGUGGUCUCAAGGACCCUCUUUCUCUUAGCGCUCUCCUCCGGGAGUAAUAUAGGGCUUUAAAAAGGAUAGCCUAUUGUUGGCUCGUAUUCGAAAAGAGCCUCCAUCACUAUUUCGACAUUAGGGCCACAUUCAAGCUUUCCAAAUCCUUAAUUCCUAGAACACCCUGCUCCGGCAAACUAAUUUCACUGCAUCAGACAUUGUCCUCCCGCAAAAGUUCCUUCUUUCCAGAAAAAGGGUUGCUGGAGGGCCUCUAUGCGUUGUAGAACCCAUUUAGGCGCUCCAAACACAGAGAAGAAGUACAACGGCAGGUUUGAGAGUACAGAGUUCACCAAAAUCAGUCUACCUCGUUGGGAUAAGAGUUUAGCUUGCCACCCUUCAAUCCUUUUUUCAAGCUUACCUAUAACGGACCACCAGUCCUCAUUACAAAGGUGUUUGUUCAUAAGGAGCAGCCGAAGAUAGUGGACCACAAAUGUCCCUAAUUUACAUCCAAGGUCACCAGCCAACCUCUCGUCAUUAUCGUCUUUCUUACCCAUGUAGAAUAGCUCUGACUUAUUCUUAUUUAUCUUUAGACCGGAAGCCUAUUAAAAAAUUUGACAUAAAACAAAAGGUUUCUCACCUGCGUUUGCUUUGCCUUACAAAAAAAGAUAGUAUCAUCUGCAUACUAGAUAAUUGCAAUCUUACUUCUCUUAUUUGGUCCCAUUCUUUUUAGAAGGUUGUUUUUGAUGACUCUUUUCUUCAUUCUCAAUAAUCCUUUUGCUACCAGCAGAAAAAGGUACUGAGAUAGUGGGUUACCUUGUCACAAAUUUAGUCCUGAUCCACUUAGAGGGUAGUCCAUUAACUAGAAUCGCCAUUUUUGCGUUGGAAAUACAUUGGUCAAUCCACUCGCACUAUUUGUAAUUCGCUCCAAGCCACCUCAUGACCUUCCGAAGGUACUCCAAUUCACUCAGUCAUAAGCCUUUUCAAAAUCAGCUUUAACACCAAUACUUCGCACUCCUAAUUUCAACAGGCAAUAUACUAACUUACUGGCUGUCACAAAAGAGUUCGAGAUUAAGCGACCUUUAAGAAAGCUGAUUGGGAUGGAGAAAUAAUCUCUUGCAAAACAACUUGUAGUCUAUUGGCGAGAACCUUAGAGAUGAUCUUCUUCACUCUAUUGAUGAGACUAAUGGAUCUGAAAUCAUUGGCCAACCUAGCCCCCUCUUUCUUAAGUGCCAAGCACAUACAAGUAAUCUGUAGGCCCUUUAUUCACGAUACCGUCAUAGAGAUCCCAAAAAAUCUUGAAUAAGUUGUCCUUCGCCACCUUCCAGAAUGUUUGAUAGAACUUCAUAUUAAAUUCAUUUGGACCUGAAGCUUUUUUGCCGCCUAGCUAGAAGGUUGUUAUUUUGAUCUCCUCUAAGGAAACAGGCGCGGUGAGCUGCUCAAGGUUCAGGAUAGCUCUUUUCCCAAAAAGACUGCUCCAGACCCCAAUCGACGGACAACUUAGGUCGACUGGUGCAAAAAUCUUUUGGAAUUUGUUAAAAAAAUAUUCCUUUUUAUCUUUCUCUCUAAUUUUUUUUUAACCUUCAUCCUCUAUCACAUCAAUCAAGUUUUCACGCCUUCUCCCGUUAGCAAUCGCAUGAAAAAGUUUUGUAUUCCCAUCUCUCUUCUUUAACUAUUGCUGUCCGGCACGAGCCUUCCACAGUAGCUCUUCAUCCCCAAUAAUAAUAGCCAGUUGCUCCUUAAGGUGCUUCCUUUCCUCAUGUUGCCGUAGAGACAAGCAGCUUUGUUGUUCUUCUAUAGGAGAUCCAAAUUUAGCAUUUUCUCUUCAAUGCUCUUUUUUAGCUUUCAUGAUGCUACUAGAAGUCCGUUGUACACUAUUUAUUAAUCCUCUUAUGACAAUAUCUAAUUUUAGCCACAACAGUUUUUUUUUUUUUUUUUUUUUUUUUUUUUGUGAGAGAUAGGCAGCACGCUACCCGCUUCGUUUAUUUCAUUUAGAAAUAAACUUAGCUGGAAAUGUGAAUCAACUAGAAUUCGAACUUAGAACCUCGGGUACCAACCACCAAGCCCUUUGCCACUUGCUUUAGUGAUGGUCGGUAAUUUUAGCCACAGAAGUUAGGAUACUAGA